This 52635-nucleotide long non-coding RNA is filed under the name Hordeum vulgare. RNAcentral describes it as "long non-coding RNA (HVUL_LNC019229)". The record is from RNAcentral. Lineage: Eukaryota; Viridiplantae; Streptophyta; Magnoliopsida; Poales; Poaceae.
GACACUUUGACGUGAGCAUGAUGAUUGUUCUAUUUGGAUUUUCUUCUUCUUCUUCUUCUUCUUUGAUCUAGGAUGGGUUCUAGAUCGGCAGCCUGGGAUAGGAAGGAUGGACGUCGUUCUUUGAUCAUUUUCUUUUUCAUCCAUAGUCGGACCCUACUCUUCUACAUGGUGAUUGAAUAUGUUAUUGUAUUGAUGUGAUCUUGAUGUAGCUUGUGGCGAGCGUAAGCAUUUUCCAUAUACUCCUCUCUUCGGUACAUGUACUUGUAACAAUAUCCAUUCUUGCAAAAUGACGAGAUGCAUUUUUAUUCCUCUCGAGGCCCUCGUGCCCAAAAUAAGGAUUUGAUUGCAUCUUGGGCGUUACAAAUCAACUACACCUUUCGCGCAACUUUUCAAAACACAACCUAGAAAAUCCGCAAAUUCAUCUACCGGCGAUGGCCUGGUGGCUAUUCCUACUCCGACGCCACGAUCCCGAAGACUCGCGCCAUCCCACGAGCUGGUCAUCGUGGCACAACCAUCCUAGCUACAAUGGCGCGCGCGUCGUGAUGACCGCGCCUGCCUCCUAUCCUCUCGGCACGCACACACGAAAGCUUGUGGGCUCGAGCACCUAUUCGUUAUUUGCCGAAAACAAGGAUCUAUCCUAACUAACAGAAGCAGCAGCUAGAAUAGCUAACAAAAGAGGUUCGAGGGGGCGACACUGGCUAGACCGAGCUCGAGCUGCUGCUCGCUUGUGUCAUGGCGGGCUGGCCAGUUCCUGUGUUGGCGGACUCGGUUGUGCUGAUUCUCGCCCAGUGGCAUAGUAGACUUUUCUUUUUCUAUUUUUCAAAAUCUUCCAAAAAUUCCCAAGUCAAAAUACUUGUACAAAUUCAAUUAUUCAAAUUCCUAAAUUUUUCUAAAUGCCCAAGCUAUUUAAUGCUGCCACUUAUCCAAUUUUUGCAGAAAGCUAUAUACAUUGUUUUAUUUAAAAGCGUAGUUUGAAUUAUUUUCACCAUCUUUUAAAAUGAUUUCUGUUACUUUUAACACAUCAAACCCAAAACCUUAAAAAAAUUACAGAGCUCAUAUUCCCCCUAGUGUUUUACAAAAAUGGGUUGACCUUUUUUUUGAGUGUUCUAGUUUCCCUAUUUUCUGUGGUAUUAUUUUUGCCCCUUAAACUUGCAUUGAUAGAUUGUGUUGUUGGCGACGUAGUUGGACCAUAACAUUUGCAAGACCCAGAGACUUUGUUGAUCCAGGCGUGCAGCCCUUUGACCAUGACUAUGAGAUCAUUUUAUGCAUGUCAUAUGGCACUUCAUUGCGUUGCAUCUGAGUCAUGUUGAAUCGGUGACCACCUUGGUGGGUUGUCUCCAAUAGCUCCUCAUUGAUACUUUCCCUUGGGCAUGGACCUAUCUUCCUACGAGGGUUGUGCAGGUGGGAAGUAGUUAGGAUGCUAUUAGUUGCUACGCAAAGUGAGAUGGGAUUAUGCAUGUGUUGUAAGCAACUUUGUUUUCAAAGAAUUUUCAAAAACCCCGUCGGGUGCCACCAAUGCCCGAGGGAUAUGGUGUUGAGUUAUAUAAUCACUUGAGGAAUAAGUGGUGUACUUAGGCAAGAUGUGUAUUUUUCUCGAAAAAUGAUUAGAUUUAAGAUGUGCCGAACGUCCCAACCUUACAUGCGCAACCACGAUACCCCUUACGGGGCUUUGUUGAUUAGUUUGGUAGGUACUAGGAGAGAGCCUACAUUACUAGUGGCGGGAGUGAUGUGGUGACUCUCGACUCCGAGUCAUGCCAGGAAGGACGACGAUGGGCCGUUUUCGCAGACACCGGGCUCACCGUUGUGUUCCCUCAUGGAUGAUACUAGUGAUGUACAUCAUGAGUGUGGGACCAACGAGUGGACUCUUUAUUAGUAUCAUCAUGGUAAAGGAAAUGUUUGAGUACUUACGUCGGGUAUGGAAAAUACCACGAGUCGUCGAUUGACACGGAAGUUUCCCGAGUCCUCUGGGUAAAGUGUGGAACCUGUGGAGAGUGUAAAAUUGUUCGAAUAGUCAUGUCCACGACCAUGGACAGUUUGUGGUCCUUCUUAGACUAUGUCUAGAUGUUUUCAGAAAUUUGGUGUGAAUGUGCGAGAAAGAUCAUAGUAUGAGAAAGGAUAUGCUUGACUUAAGUCAGAUGACUGGACAUGAUGAGGGAACAUGAGAUGUUGAAUCCCUGUUUAUACUGAUAUUUGCAACUUUUUCAAAUGUAUAUCAGUCACCUCAUGAUCCAUACUUUCAUAAGAUAUCGAUCAUGUGAUUACACUUAAAAUAAGCUUUCUGCAACUUACCUAUUAGUUCUAUAUCAUGCAUUGUUAUUGCCUUGUUCCACAACAUGGGCUGCUUGAAAGUACAUUCAAAGUACUCAUUGGCUUGACACUGGUUAUUUAAUUGGCCAGUCAUGGAAGAACAGGAGUAUGAAGAGUUCAUUGCAGAUGAGCAUGUGAACUACGAUGCUUCCUAAUCAGAAUGCCUGCACCUUUAGGUAGAUGGCAUGGGUCCACGCUUUCGUUCAAGAUUUCUGCUCCUAGUUUGUGUUUGGUAUUUGGCCGUCAUGGCCGUGUCUAUGUAAGAUUUAACCUUGAUGGUCUUUAUUUGUAUCAGACGAUAUAUAUGAAUUUAAGUCUCUUGUUAUUCAGCUUCUUUCUGUUUAAUGAGCAUUGAUCUAUGGGAUCACUAAACACGUGUAUUUGGUGAUCAUGACUUAUGAGUCGGGGUCCCCACAGUGCUGGUAUGAGAGCCAUCCGAACUGUAGGAAGCCUUAGUUAGCAUGAACAUUAGUUACGAUAAAAUCCCUUGCAAAAACUAUACCUGGAUCCUAUAAUGAGGAGUUUCUCCACUUCUUCCCUCUUCUAUUCUACUUCAAAACUAUACUGACACCCCACCCAUUUCAAACCUUUGUAGAUGGCCGUCGUACCAGAAGACCUCCUCGCAUACGGCUUUCCCCUAGUCGAUAAGAAGAUCCUAGAGAAGUGCCAGAUCCGACGAUCCCGCAUUUUGCUCUACUACGAGCACUAGGUCGAUGCCACCAUGAAGGAGUACCACGUUGAUGUGGUUGUAAAGGCAAAUGACUCCCCGACGAGCUUCUCCUUGGAAGGACCACAUAUGGACACUUUGGUGAUUCAAGUCAGGAUGGUUCCUCAGAAUAUACUCAUCCACCUUCGAGACAUAUUCCCUGAGAUGGGUGACGAGCCGCCAACUCGCCACUUUCCUUUCAGGAAGAAUGAUAUCGAUGAGAGUUGGACGUUGAUCCCAUUCAAGGAGGAUGGAACACCUCUCGGAUUCUAGACCAACUUCAGCCUCUCCGCCGAUAGUCUGGCUCACAACCUGAUUAAGGAGUCCGUGAAGCACCGCAAGGAACUUCACCAUACUCAUGGGGUACUAUGACAAGCCAAGACGAAGCCAGACAUGAUCAAGAAGGAUGGAUCCCUAGAGGGAUGACCAGCUAUCACUUAUAGAGGAGGAGUACCCCCAUCUAGAGGUGCACCCACUCUGGGAGCAUCUUAAUGACAUCACAUGAGUGCAAAGGAUUUUCUCUCUGUGGUGUCCCACCGGCGAAGCAUCACCGAAAUAGACCUCCUCGUUCUACGACCACCUCGACCGGAGACGAUGCUCGUACGGGCGAUGAAUAGGAGGAAUACCUAUACGAAUGUGAGUAGGAGACCGAGCACUCCACCAAUUUAGUCCAAGAACCGCUAGGGUAGGAUAAGUCAUGUACCCCUCAUGCGAAUUCGCGUUCGUGUAAUGGUUCAUAUGAAACCAUGUAUGCUUGUUGUAGUUUUGUUGUUUCUGUUUUGAUACAAUUCGUCAUUUUGCCUUAGGCAACAUGUAAGGUACUAUAUCUCCCAUCUUAUCUUAAAGUUAUGUGUUUGUUCUUUCGUCCUUUGUUUUAUCACACUUUGAAAGCACAUUUGCUCCCUUGGUGGUUUUGAUAAUUCGUGACAACAUACAUUGUCUCUUGGACUAACACUUUUACCUAGUAUAUUUAAGUUUUAGUCCACAAAGAGCUUUGGCUAAAGGAUUGUGAGGAUAAGACCCUUGAUAAACGAAGGAAUAGGAUUGGCUAAAGCUUCAUGCAAGAAGACUCUUCAUUUUACACUUUGUGAGAAAUCACUAUUGAGUCCAUAGGAAAGCCAAUACUAUUAAAAGGGGAUGAGGUAUUAUGAUGAAUUGGUUGCUCAAGUGCUUGGAGAUAGCCAACAAAAAUACUCAGCCACUUUCCUCCAAAUAUAUCUUUCCCAAGCCAAAAGUGCAAAAUCGGUGCCACCAACAUUUCCAACUUGGCUAUACCGAUUUUACACUUAGACAUAUCCUAUGUCAAUCCCACCAUCUCGGUACAACCAACAUUUCUAUAGGUGCCACCGAGAUUGGGGGACCAACAUUCUAUUGAGCUAACUUCAAGUUUCGGAAUUUCUGAGUUUGAAGUCGGUCUCACCGAGUUUGGAAACCAGUCUAGGUCAUCGUAUCGGUACCACCGAGAUUCCUAUAUCGGUCUUACCGAGAAUUCAAAGUUGCCACAUUUAGUGAAACUCGGUACGACCGAGAUUAAUAUUUCGAUGUCACCGAGUUGGGCAAUAAUGUUGUAAUGGUUGGAUUUCGGGAGAUGCGUACAUACACCCCUCCACCUACCUCUCACUCGUAGAGGAAGCACUCGGAACACACUUACACAUGCCACAUCCAUUUUUCUAAGAGACACCUACUCAUGUGUUGAGAUCAAAAUGUUCCAUUCCUACCAUUUGAACCUUGGUUUGUAGCCUCCCGAACUUGAUUUCCACAAUACCAAUCUCUCCUACCCCUGCCAAAUUUAAGAGAGAGUGAUUGAAUGUUGAGGAGACUAUCUUUAGAACCACUAGAGCAAGGAGUUCAUCAUUCUACCACAUGUAUUACCUUUUGGAUGGUGGUGCCUCGUAGAUUGGUUCGGUUGUGGAGUUGAACCAAGAUGUUUGUAAGGGCAAGCAAAUCGCCUACUUCGUGAAGAUCUACGGUGAGUGAGGCUAAUCCUGUGUGGACAGAAGUCGUGGUGGAAUAUACAAGGCCGCUUCUUCAUGGACCCCUUGUGGGUGGAGCCCUCUGUGGACUCUCGCAGUCGUUACCCUCCGUGGGUUGAAGUCUCCACUAACAUGGAUGUAUGAUAGCGCCACAUAUCGGAACCAUGACAAAAAUCAUCGUGUCAACUUCUUCGUGUUUGAUCUUCCUAAACUCUACUUAUUACUACAUGUGCAAAGUCUUUAAUUUCCGCUACCAUUCUUGUUGACUAGUAUGUGUAGGGUGCACUAGACUUGUUAGAAUCACUAAAAUCUACCAACCAUUAAAUUGGGAAAUGGUUAGGAUUUAAAUUUACGUAAGUAGUCUAUUCACCCCCCCCCUCUAGACACAUCUUCUAUCGAUCCCUCAAUUGGUUUCAGAGCAAGGUAUCCAAAACCUUGGUUCAAACACCAUUGGAGGAAGAUGGAUGUGCCUAGUUUGGGGAAUAUUAGUUGUAGAGUACCUAUUCCUGAUCGGGAAUAUUUUAGACAAUGGAAAUAUUAAAUGAUUGAUAUAUUCGAUAACUUCCAUUUGCGCAAGUAUGUUAAAUAUCCCUAUGAGCCUCGCAUUGAUCCUUUGCUUCCUUCCCAUGAUGACGAAAUUGAUAUGCUUGGUAAUCUUAAAAUUGUAAAUCUAAUCAUUAGAGGGCUGCCAAGAAAUGUGCUUAAUCAAUUGCAAAAUUUUGAGUGUGCUCACACUUUGUGGAAAGACUUAGAGGAAAGAUAUCCCGACUAUUCAUUGAAAAAACUUGAGAUCAUUUUCCAUAAAUGCAUUUCCUUUCACAAAAUGAAGCCAACCGAUCCUAAUUUUGAUAAAUUCCUAUUUGAGGUUCGUGACCUCAUGCGUGCUAAAGGAGAUUUCAUUACCAUUAACAAUGUCAUUGUUGAAGCCAUUCAUAUGCAUAAAUAUGAACGUGAUAAAGACAUGUUCCAUGAGAUCACACAGAAUAGUGGACCUCGAAGGUAUGUGACUUUGGGAGACAAUGCGUAGGGUAUGGUACUUGGUCUUGGUAAGGUGGCCAUAUCUCAUAUGAUAGUUCCAUUCAAAAUUUCAUGCUUGUUGAAUCCCUUGGCUACAAUCUGCUUUCCGUAUCUAGACUAGCAGACUUUGGUUUCAAUGUGCUAUUUACGAAAGUUGAGUGCCAAGUGUUUUAGAGUGACAAUCAUAACAUGGUCUUUAGUGGUAUCCAUAGAGCUGAUGUUGGUUAUGGCUAAGUCUUCUAAAGGUUGGUUAUGGCAUAGAAGGUUAGGACAUGUUGGUAUGCGUAACCUUGACAUGCUUAUCAAAGGUGAUCGUAUUCUUGUGUUAGAGAUCUUAUCUUUGACAAAGAUAGACUUUGUAGUGCUUGUCAAGCAGGAAAGCAAGUCAGUGGAAGUCAUCCCGUGAAGAACAUCAUGACUACAAGAAGGACACUCGAGCUGCUUCACAUGGAUCUUUUUGGUUCCAAUGCAUACAAGAGCCCUUGUGGAUAUUCUUAUGGUUUAGUUAUUGUUGAUGAUUUUUACAGAUUUACAUGGGUAUUAUUUCUUGAUUAUAAGUCACAGGUUCAAAUGAUCUUCAAGAAAUUCACUCGGAAAGCUCAAAAUCAGUUUGAAGGGAAGAUCAAGAAAGUUCGGAGCGACAAGAGAGAAAAGUUCAUGAACACUAAUGUGGAUACUUUUCUUGAAGAAGAAGUUAUCUCACAUGAGUUCUCGGCGACGUACACACCUCAAAAAAAUGGAGUUGUUGAGAGGAAGAACCGGACUCACAUAGAGAUGACUAGAAUAAUGCUUGAUGUAUACAAGAUGCUAAGACACUUUUGGGGAGAAGCCGUGGAAACAGCUUGACAUGUCGUAAACCGACUCUACUUACACAAGCUUCUCGGUAAAACGUCAUAUGAGCUACUCACCAGUAACAAACCCCAAGUUGGAUACUUUCGAGUAUUCGGCUUUAAAAGCUACAUUCUUUAUAAGCAUCGUUGUGCUAAAUUUGCUCCUAAAUCUCAUGAAGGUUUCCUACUUGGUUACGAAUCAAAUUCUCACACUUACCGUGUCUACAACAGCUUCACUCGAAUAGUUGAAGAGAUGGUAGAUGUGAAGUUUGAUGAAUCUAAUGGUUCGUGAGUCGAAGAAUUUCCUAAUUAUGUAGGAGAUAAGGAACCUUCGGAAGCCAUCCAAGAUCUACCUACCAGCAAGAUUCGUCCCAUGGAGGUCAAGGUAAGUACUUCAUUAAUUCAACUAGAAGCUCCUACUUCGCGUUAAGGCGAACCAAAAUAUUAUAUGGACGCAUCCACAAACGGUACACGACAAGAUGAAGACGGGGAAGAAGUACAUCGUGACGAUCCACCUCAACCUUCCUCACCACCACCUCAAGGAGUUAACACAGUCAAUGACAACAUGCAAGAUGAUGAUGAUGAAGAAGCUCCACCAUCCAACAAGAAGUAGCUGUCACGAAUUUGAGCAAGAGAGGACAAAGAUCAUCCGCUGAAUCAAAUCUUCGUGGACAUACAAACUGGGAGAAUCACUCGCUCUAAAUCUCGUUCAGCUAACUUUUGGGAGCAUUAUUCUUUCAUUUCUAGCAUUGAGCCUUUGAAGGUAGAAGAAGCACUUCAAGACCCGGAUUGGGUGAAUGCCAUGCAUGAAGAUCUACAAGAUGGGAGUUGUGGAGGAAUCAAGUGUGGACACUUGUUGAAAAUCCCAAAGGUGAGCAAAACAUCAUUGGUACAAGAUGGGAGUUUCAGAACAAGCAAGGUGAAGAUUGUCAAGUUGUACACAACAAGACGCCUCUCGUAGCCCAAGGAUACACGGAAGUCGAAGUAUGGACUAUGGAGAGACAUAUGCCCCCUUGCUAGAAUUGAAGCUAUUCACAUUGUUCUCGCUUAUAGCAAUCACCAUGACAUUACUCUUUACCAAAUGGAUAUAAAAAGUGCUUUUCUAAAUGGUGAAAUUGAGGAGGAGGUAUAUGUCAAACAACCUCCAGGAUUUGUUAACUCCAAGAAACCUAAUCAUGUUUACACACUUUGUAAAGAUUUAUAUGGACAUAAACAAGCACCUAGAGCGUGGUACAAAUGCCAAAUGAAGUUUCUCAUUGAAAAGGAUUUUGAAAUUGGUAAAAUUGACACAACCUUAUUCACUAAAGGAGUUAAUGGAGAAAUAUUUGUGUGCCAAAUAUAUGUGGAUGAUAUUAUAUUUUGUUCUACUAACCCACAUUUUAGUGAGAAAUUUGGAAAGUUGAUGUUAGAGAAAUAUGAGAUGGCAAUGAUGUGCGAGCUGAAAUUCUUCCUUGAAUUGCAGAUCAAACAAUUGAGAUAAGGUACAUUUAUCUCUCAAACCAAGUACACUAAGGACUUCAUCAGAAAGUUCAAUAUGCAAGGGUGCAAAGUUAUGCGAACCCCCAUGCGUACUAAUGGAUGUAUUGACCUUGCUAAGGAGGACAAACCAGUUGAUCAAAGAGUUUAUCGAUCAAUGAUUGGUUCAUUGCUAUAUCUAUGUGCCUCCCAUCGUGAUAUCAUGUUGAGUGUUUGCAUGUGUGCCCUAUAGGAGGCACCUAAAGAGUAUAAUCUAUUGGAUGUUAAAUGAAUCGUGAGAUACCUAAUACAUACACAAAACUUCGGCAUAUGGUAUUGUAACGCCCAAGAUGCGACCAUAUCCUUAUUUUGGUGCGAGGGCCUCGAUAGGGAUAGAAGUGCAUCUCAUCAAUUUCCAAGAAUGGAUAUUGUUACAAGUACAUGUACAGAAUAGAUGAGUAUAUGGAAUUGGCUUACACUCACCACAAGCUACAUCAAAUUCACAUUAAUACAACAACAGACAGUCAUCAUGAAGAACAGAAGGUUCCGACUACGGACAAAAACAAACGACAAAAGAACGACAUCCAUCCUUGCUAUCCCAGAGUGCCGGCCUCGAACCCAUCCUAGAUCGAUGAAUAGGAAGAAGAAGAAGAAAACUCCAAAUAGCACAAUCAUCGCGCUCACAUCCUAUUAUCACUUUACCUGUACGUGCAUCUGGUGUUGUAGUAAUCUAUGAGCCAUGGGGACUCAACAGUCUCAUUUCCAAAUGUUGUUGGGGUACGUCGCAUGGGAAACAAAAACUUUCCUACGCGCGCGAAAACCUACCAUGGUGAUGUUCAUCUACCAGGGGGAUUUCAGAUCUACGUACCCUUGUAGAUCGCACAGCAGAAGCGUUAGUACACGCGGUUGAUGUAGUGGAGAGUCCUCACGUCCCUCGAUCCGCCCCGCGAACCGUCCCACGAUCCGCUCCGAUCUAGUGCCGAACGGACGGCACCUCCGCGUUCAGCACACGUACAACUCGACGAUGAUCUCGGCCUUCUUGAUCCAGCAAGAGAGGCGGAGAGGUAGAUGAGUUCUCCAGCAGCGUGAUGGCGCUCCGGAGGUUGGUGGUGAUCUAAUCUCAGUAGGGCUCCGCCCGAGCUCCGGAGAAACGCGAUCCAGAGGAAAAACCGUGGAGGUAUGUGGUCGGGCAGCCGCGGAAAAGUUGUCUCAAAUCAGCCCUAAAACCUCCGUAUAUAUAUAGGUGGGAGGGGAGGAGCCUUCCCUUGGGCUCAUGAGGCCCCAAGGGGUUCGGCCGAUGGGGGGGGAGGAGAAUUCCUCCUCCAAUCCUAGUCCAACUAGGAUUGGAAGGUGGAGUCCUUCCCUUCCUUCCCACUUCCCCUUUUUUUCCUUUUCUCUUUGAUUUUCUUAUCUCCUGCGCAGGGGCCUCUCUGGGCUUUCCCACCAGCCCACUAAGGGCUGGUGCGGCACCCCUAAGGCCUAUGGGCUUCCCCAGGGUGGGCUGCCCCCCCGGUGAACUCCCGGAAUCCAUUCGUCAUUCCCGGUACAUUCCGGUAACUCCGAAAACCUUCCGGUAGUCAAAUGAGGUCAUCCUAUAUAUCAAUCUUCGUUUCCGGACCAUUCCGGAAACCCUCUUGACAUCCGUGAUCUCAUCCGGGACUCCGAACAACAUUCGUUAACCAACCAUAUAACUCAAAUAUGCAUAAAACAACGUUGAACCUUAAGUGUGCAGACCCUGCGGGUUCGAGAACUAUGUAGACAUGACCCGAGGGACUCCUCGGUCAAUAUCCAAUAGCGGGACCUGGAUGCCCUUAUUGGAUCCUACAUAUUCGACGAAAAUCUUAUCGUUUCAACCUCAGUGCCAAGGAUUCAUAUAAUCCCGUAUGUCAUUCCCUUUGUCCUUUGGUAUGUUACAUGCCGGAGAUUCGAUCGUCAGUAUCCGCAUACCUAUUUUAAUCUCGUUUACCAGCAAGUCUCUUAACUCGUUCCGUAAUACAAGAUCCCUCAACUUACACUAAGUCACAUUGCUUGCAAGGCUUGUGUGCGAUGUUGUAUUAUCGAGUGGGCCCCGAGAUACCUCUCCGUCACAUGGUGACAAAUCCCAGUUUUGAUCCAUACUAACUCAAUGGACACCUUCGGAGAUACCUGUAGAGCACCUUUAUAGCAACCCAGUUACGUUGUGACGUUUGAUACACACAAAGCAUUCCUUCGGUGUCAGUGAGUUAUAUGAUCUCAUGGUCAUAGGAAUAAAUACUUGACAUGCAGAAAACAGUAGCAACAAAAUGACACGAUCAACAUGCUACGUCUAUUAGUUUGGGUCUAGUCCAUCACAUAAUUCUCCCAAUGAUGUGAUCCAGUUAUCAAGCAACAACACCUUGUGCAUAGUCAGAAGAACCUGACCAUGCUUGAUCAACUGGCUAGCCAACUAGAGGCUUGCUAGGGACAAUGUUUUGUCUAUGUAUCCACACAUAUAUCUAAGUCUUCAUUCAAUACAAUUAUAGCAUGGAUAAUAAACGAUUAUCUUGAUACAGGAAUUAUAAUAAUAACUUAUUUAUCAUUGCCUCUAGGGCAUAAUUCCAACAGUCUCCCACUUGCACUAAACUCAAUAAUCUAUCCCUCACAUCGCCAUGCGAAUUACAUUGUAAUAAAUCUAACACCCAUACAGUUCUGGUGUUGAUCAUGCUUAGCCCGUGGAAGAGGUUUAUUCAGCGGGUCUGCUACAUUCAGAUCUGUGUGCACUUUGCAUAUAUUUACGUCCUCCCCUUCGACGUAGUCGCGGAUGAGGUUGAAGCGUCGUUUGAUGUGUCUGGUCUUCUUGUGAAACCGUGGUUCCUUUGCUAAGGCAAUGGCACCCGUGUUGUCAUAGAACAAGGUUAUUGGAUUUAGUGCGCUUGGCACCACUCCAAGAUCCAUCAUGAACUGCUUCAUCCAGACACCCUCCUUAGCCGCCUUUGAGGCAGCCAUGUACUCCGCUUCACAUGUAGAAUUAGCUACGACGCUUUGCUUGGAACUGCACCAGCUUACCGCACCCCCAUUAAGAAUAAAUAUGUAUCCGGUCUGCGACUUAGAGUCGUCCGGAUCUGUGUCAAAGCUUGCAUCGACAUAACCUUUUACGGCGAGCUCUUUGUCACCUCCAUACACGAGAAACAUCUCCUUAGUACUUUUCAGGUACUUCAGGAUAUUCUUGACCGCUGUCCCGUGAUCCACUCCUGGAUUACUCUAGAACCUGCCUGCCAUACUUAUGGCCAGGCUAACGUUCGGUCUAGUGCACAACAUUGCAUACAUGAUAGAACCUAUGGCUGAAGCAUAGGGGACGGUGCUCAUAUGCUCUCUAUCUUUAUCAGUUACUGGGCACUGAGUCUUACUUAAUCUCGUACCUUGUAAAACUGGCAAGAACCCCUUCUUGGACUGUUCCAUUUUGAACCUCUUCAAAACUUUAUCAAGGUAUGUGCUUUGUGAAAGUCCUAUCGGGCAUUUUGAUCUAUCCCUAUAGAUCUUAAAGCCUAGAAUGUAAGCAGCUUCUCCUAGGUCCUUCAUAGAGAAACUUUUAUUCAAGUAAUCCUUUAUGCUCUCAAAAAACUCCACGUUGUUUCCAAUCAGCAAUAUGUCAUCCACAUAUAAUAUUAGAAACUCCACAGAGCUCCCACUCACUUUCUUGUAAAUACAAGAUUCUCCAACCACUUGUAAAAACCCAAAUGCUUUGAUCACCCCAUCAAAGCGUUUAUUCCAACUCCGAGAUGCUUGCACCAGUCCAUAAAUGGAUCGCUGGAGCUUGCAUACUUUGUUAGCAUUUUUAGGAUCGACAAAACCUUCGGGUUGUAUCAUAUACAACUCUUCCUUAAGAAAACCGUUAAGGAACGCCGUUUCGACAUCCAUCUGCCAGAUUUCAUAAUCGAAAAAUGCAGCUAUUGCUAACAUGAUUCUGACAGACUUAUGCAUCGCUACGGAUGAGAACGUCUCAUCGUAGUCAACUCCUUGAACUUGUGAAAAACCCUUUGCCACAAGUCGAGCUUUAUAAACGGUCACAUUACCGUCAACGUCAGUCUUCUUCUUAAACAUCCAUUUGUUCUGAAUAGCCUUGCAGCCUUCAGGUAGUACUUCCAAAGUCCACACUUUGUUUUCAUACAUGGAUCCUAUCUCGGACUUCAUGGCCUCCAGCCAUUUGUUGGAAUCCGGGCCCACGAUUGCUUCUUCAUAAUUCGCAGGCUCAUUGUUGUCUAACAACAUAAUUGAUAAGAUGGGAUUACCGUACCACUCUGGAGUAGUACGCGGUCUCGUCGACCUGCAAGGUUCGAUAGGAACUUGAUCCGGAGUUUCAUGAUCAUCAUCAUUAACUUCCUCCUCAACCGACGUUGCAACGACAGGGGUUUUCCCUUGCCAUGCGCCACCAUCCAGAGGGAUGAGAGGUUCAAUAACCUCAUCAAGUUCUAUCUUCCUCCCACUCAAUUCUCUUGAGAGAAACUCCUUCUCGAGAAAAGCUCCGUUCUUAGCAACAAACACUUUGCCCUCGGAUUUGAGAUAGAAGGUGUACCCAACUGUCUCUUUUGGGUAACCUAUGAAGAUGCACUUUUCCGCUUCGGGUUCCAGCUUUUCAGGCUAAAGCUUUCUGACAUAAGCAUCACAUCCCCAAACUUUAAGAAACGACAACUUUGGUCUUUUGCCAUACCACAGUUCGUAUGGUGUCGUCUCAACAAAUUUUGAUGGCGUCCUAUUUAAAGUGAAUGCAGUUGUUCCUAAUGCAUAACCCCAAAACGAUAACGGCAGAUCGGUAAGAGACAUCAUAGAUCGCACCAUCUCUAAUAAAGUACGAUUACGAUGUUCGGACACACCAUUACACUGUGGUGUUCCAUGCGGUGUCAACUCUUAAACAAUUCCGCAUUGUCUUAAGUGAGCACCAAACUCGAAACUCAGAUAUUCACCCCCACGAUCAAACCGUAGGAAUUUGAUCUUCUUGUUACGAUGAUUUUAAACUUCACUCUGAAAUUGCUUGAACUUUUCAAAUGUUUCAGACUUGUGCUUCAUUAAGUAGACAUAACCAUAUCUACUCAAAUCGUCAGUGAAGGUGAGAAAAUAACGAUAUCCGCCACGUGCCUCCAUGCUCAUCGGACCACACACAUCGGUAUGUAUGAUUUCCAACAAGUCACUUGCACGCUCCAUUGUUCCAGAGAACGGAGUUUUAGUCAUCUUGCCCAUGAGGCAUGGUUCGCACGUGUCAAGUGAAUCAAUGUCAAGUGACUCCAAAAGUCUAUCAGUAUGGAGUUUCUUCAUGCGCUUUACACCAAUAUGACCUAAGCGGCAGUGCCACAAAAACAUGGCGCUAUCAUUGGUAACUCUAACUCUUUUGUUCUCAAUGUUAUGUAUAUGUGUAUUAUCACUAUCAAGAUUCAAUAUGAACAAUCCUCUCACAUUGGAUGCAUGACCAUAAAAGAUAUUACUCAUACAAAUAGAACAACCAUUAUUCUCUGACUUAAACGAGUAACCAUCUUGCAAUAAACAAGAUCCAGAUAUAAUGUUCAUGCUCACCGCAGGCACUAAAUAACAAUUAUUCAAGUUCAUAACUAAUCCUGAUGGGAACUGAAGUGAAACUGUGCCGACGGCGAUUGCAUCAACCUUGGAACCAUUUCCCACGCGCAUCGUCACUUCAUCUUUCGCCAGCCUUCGACUAUUCCGCAGUUCCUGUUUCGAGUUGCAAAUAUGGGCAACAGAACCGGUAUCGAAUACCCAGGCACUACUACGAGAGCUGGUUAAGUACACAUCAAUAACAUGUAUAUCAAAUAUACCUGAUUUUUCUUUGGUCGCCUUCUUAUCAGCCAGAUACUUGGGGCAGUUGCGCUUCCAGUGACCCAUACCCUUGCAAUAAUAGCACUCCAUUUCAGGCUUAGGUCCAGCUUUGGGUUUCUUCGUCGGAUUGGCAACAGGUUUGCCGCUCUUCUUUGAAUUACCCUUCUUUCCUUUGUCGUUUCUCUUGAAACUAGUGGUCUUAUUCACCAUCAACACUUGAUGUUCUUUACGGAGUUCUGACUCUACGGCUUUCAGCAUCGCGAAAAACUCGUCGGGUGACUUGUUUAUCCCUUGCAUGUCGUAGUUCAACACAAAGCCCUUAUAGCUUGGCGGCAGUGAUUGAAGAAUUCUAUCACUGAUAGCCUCUUGCAGGAAUUCAAUCCCCAGCUCAGCUAGACGAUUUGAGUACCCAGACAUUUUGAGCACGUGUUCACUGACAAACGAAUUCUCCUCCAUCUUGCAAGCAUAGAAUUUAUCGGAGGUCUCAUACCUCUCGAUCUGGGCGUUCUUCUGAAAGAUAAACUUCAACUCCUGGAACAUCUCAUAUGCUCCAUGACGCUCAAAGCGACAUUGAAGUCCUGGUUCUAAGCCAUACAAGACUGCACAUUGAACUACUGAGUAGUCCUCCUUACGUGAUAACCAAGCGUUCUUGACAUCUUGGUCAGCCGUAGCGGGUGGUUCAUCUCCUAACGCAACAUCAAGGACAUAAUCCUUCUUCCGAGCUUGUAGGAUCAACUUAAGAUUACGAACCAUGAUCUACAAAGUUGCUUCCAUCAUCUUUCAACUUAGCUUUCUCUAGGAACGUAUUAAAAUUCAGGGUGACUGUCGCGUGAGCCAUGAUCUACAACACAAAUAUAUUCAAAGUGGACUUAGACUAUGUUCAAGAUAAUUAGAAUUUAACUUAAUCAAAUUACUUGCUAAACUCCCACUCAAAAAGUACAUCUCUCUAGUCAUUUGAGUGGUUCAUGAUCCAAUUCCACUAGCUCAAGUCCGAUCAUCACGUGAGUUGAGGAUAGUUUCAGUGGUAAGCAUCCCUAUGCUAAUCAUAUCAACUAUAUGAUUCAUAAUCGACCUUUCGGUCUCAUGUGUUCCAAGGCCAUGUCUGCACAUGCUAGGCUCAUCAAGCUUAACCCGAGUGUUCCGCGUGUGCAACUGUUUUGCAUCCGUUGUAUGUGAACGUUGAGUCUAUUACACCCGAUCAUCACGUGGUGUCUCGAAACAACGAAUAGUCGCAACGAUGCACAGUCGGGGAGAACACAAUUUCGUCUUGAAAUUCUAGUGAGAGAUCACCUCAUAAUGCUACCGUCGUUCUAAGAAAAAUAAGGUGCAUAAAAGGAUUAACAUCACAUGCAAUUCAUAAGUGACAUGAUAUGGCCAUCAUCAUGUGCUUCUUGAUCUCUAUCACCAAAGCACCGGCACGAUCUUCUUUGUCACUGGCGCCACACCAUGAUCUCCAUCAACGUGUCACCAUCGGGGUUGUCGUGCUACUCAUGCUAUUACUACUAAAGCUACAUCCUAGCAAUAUAGUAAACGCAUCUGCAAGCACAAACGUUAGUUUAAAGACAACCCUAUGGCUCCUGCCGGUUGCCGUACCAUCGACGUGCAAGUCAAUAUUAACUAUUACAACAUGAUCAUGUCAUACAUCCAAUAUAUCACAUCACAUCGUUGGCCAUAUCACAUCACAAGCAUACCCUGCAAAAACAAGUUAGACAUCCUCUAGUUGUUGUUGCAUGUUUUACGUGGUGACCAUGGGUAUCUAGUAGGAUUGCAUCUUACUUACGCAAACACCACAACGGAGAUAUAUGAAUUGCUAUUUAACCUCAUCCAAGGACCUCCUUGGUCAAAUCCGAUUCAACUAAAGUUGGAGAAACCGACACUCGCCAGUCAUCUUUGAGCAACGGAGUUACUCGUAGCGAUGAAACUAGUCUCUCGUAAGCAUAAGAGUAAUGUAGGUCCGAGCCGCUUCGAUCCAACAAUACCGCGGAAUCAAGAAAAGAGUAAGGAGGGCAGCAAAUCGCACAUCACCACCCACAAGAACUUUUGUGUUCUACUCGUGAUGCCACUGUUGGGGAAUGUCGCAUGGGAAACAAAAAAUUUCCUACGCGCACGCAAACCUAUCAUGGUGAUGUUCAUCUACGAGGGGGAUUUCAGAUCUACGUACCCUUGUAGAUUGCACAGAAGAAGCGUUAAUAAAAGCGGUUGAUGUAGUGGAACGUCCUCACGUCCCUCGAUCCGCCCUGCGAACCAUCCCACGAAGCGUCCCACGAUCCGCUCCGAUCUAGUGCCGAACAGACGGCACCUCCGCGGUCAGCACACGUACAGCUCGACGAUGAUCUCGGCCUUCUUGAUCCAGCAAGAGAGGCAGAGAGGUAGAUGAGUUCUCCAGCAGCGUGAUGGCGCUCCGGAGGUUGGUGGUGAUCUAAUCUCAGUAGGGCUCCGCCCGAGCUCCGGAGAAACGCGAUCCAGAGGAAAAACCGUGGAGGUAUGUGGUCGGGCUGCCGUGGACAAGUUGUCUCAAAUCAGCCCUAAAACCUCCGUAUAUAUAUAGGUGGGAGGGGAGGAGCCUUGCCUUGGGGCUCAAGAGGACCCGAGGGGUUCGGCCAAUGGGGGGGGGAGGAGGAUUCCUCCUCCAAUCCUAGUCCAACUAGGAUAGGAAGGUGGAGUCCUUCCCUUCCUUCCCACUUCCCCUUUUUUUCCUUUUCUCUUUGAUUUUCUUAUCUCCUGCACAGGGGCCUCUCUGGGCUUUCCCACCAGCCCACUAAGGGCUGGUGCGGCACCCCUAAGGCCUAUGGGCUUCUCAGGGGUGGGCUGCCCCCCGGUGAACUCCCGGAACCCAUUCGUUAUUCCCGAUACAUUCCCGGUAACUCCGAAGACCUUCCGGUAAUCAAAUGAGGUCAUCCUAUAUAUCAAUCUUCAUUUCCGGACCAUUCUGGAAACCCUCGUGACAUCCAUGAUCUCAUCCGGGACUCCGAACAACAUUCGGUAACCAACCAUAUAACUCAAAUACGCAUAAAACAACGACGAACCUUAAGUGUGCAGACCCUGCGGGUUCGAGAACUAUGUAGACAUGACCCGAGGGACUCCUCGGUCAAUAUCCAAUAGCGGGACAUGGAUGCCCAUAUUGGAUCCUACAUAUUCUACGAAGAUCUUAUCGUUUGAACCUCAGUGCCAAGGAUUCAUAUAAUCCCGUAUGUCAUUCCCUUUGUCCUUCGGUAUGUUACUUGCCCGAGAUUCGAUCGUCAGUAUCCGCAUACCUAUUUUAAUCUUGAUUACCAGCUAGUCUCUUUACUCGUUCCAUAAUACAAGAUCCCACAACUUACACUAAGUCACAUUGCUUGCAAGGCUUGUGUGUGAUGUUGUAUUACCGAGUGGGCCCCGAGAUACCUCUCUGUCACACGGAGUGACAAAUCCCAGUCUUGAUCCAUACUAACUCAACGGACACCUUCGGAGAUACCUGUAGAGCAUCUUUAUAGCCACCCAGUUACAUUGUGACGUUUGAUACACACAAAGCAUUCCUCCGGUGUCAGUGAGUUAUAUGAUCUCAUGGUCAUAGGAAUAAAUAAUUGACACGCAGAAAACAGUAGCAACAAAAUGACAUGAUCAACAUUCUACGUUUAUUAGUUUGGGUCUAGUCCAUCACAUGAUUCUCCUAAUGAUGUGAUCCAGUUAUCAAGCAACAACAUCUUGUACAUAGUCAGAAGACCCUGACCAUCCUUGAUCAACUGGCUAGCCAACUAGAGGCUUGCUAGGGACAGUGUUUUGUCUAUGUAUGCACACAUGUAUCUAAGUCUUCAUUCAAUAGAAAUACAGCAUGGAUAAUAAACGAUUAUCUUGAUACAGGAAUUAUAAUAAUAACUUAUUUAUCAUUGCCUCUAGGGUAUAAUUCCAACAAAUGUAUCAAGACAAGCAAAGCUUAAUGGGUGAGGUAUGGUUAAGUAGUGAGGCUGCGGCAAGCAACUAAGCAUUUAUUUGAGGUGUCUAACUUACAAGUACAAGAACAAAAGAGGUGGAUGACUACGCAUAAUGAUGAUCAAAUGAAUGAUCCUGAACACCUACUUACAUCAGACUUAACCCCACCGUGUCCUCAGUCAGAGAAGGAGCUCACGAAAGAGACAGUCACGGUUACGCACACAAUUGACAUCUUUUAAUUAAGCUUACUUCAAGUUAUCUAGAACCAAAUGUUAAACAAAGUUUCCACAUUGCCACAUAACCGCGGGCACGACUUUCUGAAAGGUUUAACCCUGCAGGGGUGCUCCAACUAGUCCAUCACAAAUUACCACAAGCCGCAUAGAAAGCCUCGAGCGCAAACUCGUGAUCUCCUAAGAUUUCUUAGUGGAAAACCUCAACUCUGAGAUAACCCAAAGCAUCACUGGAAUCCCGAUGCACAAGAUAUUUUGUAAAAGGUAAAACAAGUCUAGCAAGCCCACCCAAUGUGUUGACGAACGAGAUAGGAGCCGUGUAUCUCGUUCUCUGGACACGACGGAUAAGUGACGUGUACGGUGGCCUGAUAGAAAUAACCCAAGUUGACCUGGGUUGGCCCCGCACGGUGCUCUAGUUUGGAACAACACUCAUGAGGAGCAUUGGCCCGGGGGUUGAUUACUUAUCCAUGGGGUGAUCAAACCCUAUGCGGUUCAUUAGUUAAUCAGGCAAAUAUAGUGCCAAAGUUGGGGCUUGGCAAAUUAGUUUUAAUCUAAGACAAAUUAUCAAAGGGGUCCCCAUAACAACCCCGAUCAUGUUAGGAGUGCUCAAUUAUGGAAUAUAACACCGGUAGCCGAAACUAGGGCGAAAAAGAUGGAACAAAACACCAGGCUAGAAAGGCCGAGCCUUCCACCUUUUACCAAGUAUAUAUGUGCAUUAAAUUAAAUAGCAUUAAUAUGGUGAUAUAACAAGGAAACCAUGUUAUCACAUGGAAGUAACUACACCUGUAACUAGCAACGCUAUGAACUUGGUGAAGAAAGCGGUAACAUAGCCAAACAGUGGUUUGCUAGGUUAUGGAGGUUAAAGGUUUUCAUGGAAAUGUUGAGAGGCUGACAUUUAAUAGGUGGUAGGUAGCGAGACAUAACAAAAUAAACCAGACAACUAGCAUGGCAUUGAUAGUAAUCGUAUCUAGGGAAAUGGUGAUCUUGCAUGUGAUCCCGCUAGGAAGAAGAACGACUCCGUGAAGCAGAUGAACCAACGUAGUCGAGCAGAUCCUCACAUUUGGACAUGCUUGCGGAACUCUUUCGAGAAGAAGCAAACCGGAAAGUAGAAUCAACACGCAACAUUCACCACGAUACAUGCAUGAUAUGAUGCACAACACAUAUGAUGCAUCAUCGGUUUCAAAUAUGCAAGGCAUGGCAUGGAAAUUCACAACAAUCAAACACUAAACAUCAAGUUAAUCUCAAUAUGCAACGAGUUGCAUAUUGAUUAAACUCCACAUAUAAAUUAUUUAAUUCACCCCCGUUUAGGUACAUGGUAUAUUAAAUGCUAUUAACAUUGCAAGAAGUGAAGCACAAUUAAUCUGCCUAUCUAGGCAUUUUAAAUGAGGCCGGAAACGACAUAUAGCAUCUCCGAACUGACCACAUGUGUUAACUUUGAAAUAUGUCCAGAUCGGUCCUAAACACAAUUUAUAUUUUUUUAAAGAAAAAUAAAGUGGAGCAUGCGAAACUACACGUCAUUCUAGUCGGUUUACAUAAUUAGCUCAUCUCCAAUAGAGCUACGGUUAACUAGCUACGAAUUAAACCGACUUAGCAUGACAUCAUACAAAACGAGGGAAACAACAAGGUUUGUAGUUUUAAAUAUGCAUGAGAGUUGGAAAAUAUUAAUCUACACGAAAUUCUACACGUUCUACAUAUCUACCUUAUUCCGAUCUGACGCACAGUCUAAAAGAUACAAGCGUUUUAAAAUCAUGCAAUUUUCUGAAAUUCCUGGAUAAUAGACAAAUUCCCCCGUCUAAAAAAAUGUCUAUAGCAAGGUUCCUGGUCUCUGCCAGCAAGAACACCUUCUGUAGUUCAUCCCAUGGAAGCUCCUGGUAAUUCUACCUCCACAGACCAGUUAGAAUUCUCCUCCCUACAAGUAGAUGUCCAGUUGCUCCAAAGGAAUAGAGAACAAGACCGUAUGGAGUUUGAUGAAUUCAGAGAAUAUAUGCACACAAAUUUUGGUUCAGUCCAAAAAUCAUUAGCUGAUCUACAGGGCACCUUAUCAGGAUUCUUAUCUGGUUUCCCAAAGCCCAGAGAAAACCCUCCCAACCCUAUGGAUGUUCCCCAAGCUAGUGCUGUGAUUCACACAACACAAGGACCAGUCUAGGGAGGGCAGGAUCAUUUUAAAUCCCCUUAUACAGUGGGUUCAGCAACCUUAGUGGAUAAGCACACAGGAAAGGAGUUAAAUUUGGAAGGUUGUCUUAAACACCCUUACAGACACCCCCAUUUUGCUGGGAAGCAACAACCACCAGAUGCUAGAUCACAACCUGCAGCUAAUCCACCUCAGCAAGUUCUUCAGUUAGAUCCAGAGCAGAGGGAUGCUAAUUUGGACAGAAGACUCGGAACACCACAGGAUAACAGAAGGCCACUCACUUUAGUUAAGCCUGCUAAAUACAAUAUUCCUGAGUUUGAUGGUGUUGGCACUGAUUCUUGGAUACAAAAAAUUGAGAUGUACUUUGAGGCUGCUAGAACACCAAUAGAACAGAAAACAGAGAUUGCUGUAACUUACCUUAAGGGACCAGCUAUUGAAUGGUGGAGAGGCACUGGUAUGGUGGCAAAUACUAUCCCCUGGUAUAGAUUUUGCAGAUUUGUGGGUGACAGGUUCUCUGAAACAUCUGUUUGUGACAAUUUGAGAGCUUUUCACAACCUGUCUCAAUCUGGUACUAUUAAUGACUAUGUUCUCCAGUUUGAACAAGCUAUGAACUUAAUGAGAAGGGACAACCCAGUACAGCCAAAUGAUUACUACAAACACAGUUUCAUUUCUGGGUUAAAUGAUAAUAUCCAGCAUCAUGUACAAUGUCAUGAGCCCCCUGAUUUACAAAAAGCCAUCUUGCUAGCCAGAAGGAUGGAACAGGCUCAACCCCAGAGAAAAGUUUCCCCUGCCCCUAAUUACCCCUCCCAAGCAAGGAAACAUUUACAGUUUGAUCCUGGCAAACCUGGCCCAACUAACACUGCAUCCAUAAUUCAACAGGCUACAAGUGCAAAGAACCUUGGUUCCCUGGUCAUAAGAAAGUGUGCAAGUUAGCAAAUCAGGCUCAAAUAAAUGCUCUCCAAGAAUCUUACCCUCAUGAUGCUGAACUGGUGUACUACACUGAAAUCACUAAAGAUGGUGAACCACCUCCCUUCCGUGAAGCUGAUGAUACCCCUCUCCAAAUAUCUAUGCAUGCUUUGAUGGGCCUGAGUAUGGCUAAAAAGUUGAGGUUCACAGUAACUGUGAUGAUGGGCUCAACCCCUGCUACUGCCCUAAUUGACAGUGGUAGCACUGCCACUUUUAUUACACCAAAAACAGCAGCUCUAGCUAAGUGCUCCUUAACCCCCACCAAGAGAAAACAAGUUCCAUGGUGAAACACUAUGGUCUGAAUUCAUUGCUCUGCAAGCACCAUUUUCUUUGCAAGGAACACAAUUCUCCACAGACUUCAGAGUUCUCAAACUCCAAGGGUAUGAUAUUAUCUUAGGAGCUGAUUGGAUGGCAUCUUUCAGCCCUGUAGAACUUGACUUUGAUGAGAUGCAAGUAAAGCUUACACUGAAAGAUGGAGAAAAGAUUAUUCUCAAAGAUGAAAGUUUUCCUACUGCUCCUGUUCUUGAACUAGCAAUCAAGGAGAGCCUUUCUGAGGAGCCAGUGUGUAGAGCUGUUUUAUUCCUUAAUAGAAUCUCAAUGGUGGAACAGCUGGACCCUAUGGUGCCUGAACCAGUACAACAGAUACUAGAUAAAUUUUCCCCUGUUUUCAGUGCACCCACAACCCUCCCUCCAAAAAGAUCCAUUGAUCAUGUGAUCACUUUCACUCCUCAAGCUAAAAUCAUCAAUCAAAGACCUUAUAGGCUUCCUCACCACCAAAAGGAUGUUACGGAAGGCAUAGUGAAAGACAUGAUCAAGAAUCAAGUAAUCAGAGACAGCAACAGUCCUUAUUCGUCACCUGCUCUUCUGGUUAAGAAGAAGGAUAUGACAUGGAGGCUGGUCAAUGAUUUUAGAAAAGUAAAUGAACAAACUGUCAAAAACAAAUACCCAAUUCCUGUCAUUGAGGAUCUGCUGGAUGAGUUCAAAGGAGCUAUAGUUUUCUCCAAUCUUGAUCUCAGAAGUGGCUAUCACCAGAUAAGAAUGAAGGAGGAAGAUAUCCCAAAAACUGCAUUUAGUACCCAUUGUGGACACUAUGAAUACAUGGUCAUGCCCUUUGGAUUAACUAAUGCACCAGCAACUUUCCAACUGUUAAUGAACACCAUCCUAGCCCCUUACUUAAGGAAGUUUGUGCUAGUAUUCUUUGAUGAUAUACUUAUCUUUAGUAGAAAUAUGAAAGAGCACUUGUUACACUUGCAACUAGUUCUGAAAGUUUUACAAGUCAACCAAUUAGUUGCUAAGCUCAGCAAAUGUUCCUUUGCUCAAACACAAGUGGAAUACUUGGGACAUGUUAUUAGAGGUGAUGGUGUUGCUACUGACCCUUCCAAGAUUGAAGCCAUUGUGCAGUGGCCUACUCCUGCAAAUGUUACACAGUUAAGAAGCUUCCUAGGACUCACUGGGUACUACAGAAGAUUUAUCCAGAAUUAUGGCUACAUCUGUAAACCGUUGUAUCAGUCCCUCAAAAAGGAUAAUUAUAAAUGGGGCCCUGAGAAAAUGGAAGCUUUCAACUUACUUAAGCACAAGAUGGCCCAGGCUCCUGUACUUGCUCUACCAGAUUUCACACUUCCCUUUGUUCUGGAAACUGAUGCAUGUGCUUAUGGUAUAGGUGCUGUACUAAUGCAAGAGGGAAACCUCUCUCAUACUCCAAUAAAACCAUUGGACCAAAAGCUGCUGCUAUGUCUACUUAUGAUAAAGAAGCAAUGGCCAUCAUUGAAGCACUAAAACACUGGAAGCAUUACUUUGCUGCUUCUGUCUUGAUCAUCAGAACAGACCAACAGAGCCUCAAAUACAUCCAAGAACAAAAGCUGAAUGAAGGAAUACAUCACAAACUACUGGUCAAGCUGCUAGGUUACAAUUUCAAGGUAGAAUAUAAACAAGGCAAAAACAACAGGGUAGCUGAUGCAUUAUCCAGAGUCCAAUAUAAACUGCACUCCUUGAUUGCUUUUAAAGCACAACCUAUGUGGAUCUCUCAUGUAACCAACAGUUAUGUUCAAGACCAGAAAUGCAAAGACUUAUUAAGCAAACUGGCCAUUUCUGAUGCUUCACUCCCAAACUUUACUCUUGAGCACGGAAUUAUAAGAUACAAGAACAGAAUAGUUAUUGGGAAUGAUCUUACCCUCAGAAACAAGCUAGUAGCUGCCCUGCAUAACUCUGAACUGGGUGGACACUCUAGGCACAGGGCCACCUACCAGAGAGUUAAGCUGUUGUUCCAUUGGCCUGGCAUGAAGCAGUUUAUUGUAGAUUUCAUCAAACAAUGCCCCACAUGCAAAAUCAACAAGCCAGGACAUUGUAAGUACCCUGGACUGCUUCAACCACUUCCUGUCCUUGAUUUUGCAUGGUGUCAUAUCAGUAUGGAUUUCAUUGAAGGACUGCCGACAUCACAAAACAAGGAUAUGACAUUGGUGGUUGUGGAUAGAUUCACCAAGUAUGGGCAUUUAAUUGCAAUGAAGCACCCAAUCACUGUUAGCACUGUGGCCACUGCAUUCACAGAUAACAUUUUCAAACUCCAUGGGCUCUCCUCUGUCAUUGUUACACACAGAGACAGAAUCUUCACCAGCCAUCUGUGGCAAGAAUUAUUCAGGAAGCUAGGCAUUAAACUACAAAUGAGCACUUCCUACCACCCCCAGUCUGAUGGCCAAAUAAAAGAGUGAACCAGUGUUUGGAAAACUAUCUCAGGUGCAUGGCCUUCCUUCAGCCCAAGAAAUGGAUGCACUGGCUCUCAUUAGUAGAAUGGUGUUACAACACUAGCUACCACACUUCCCUGAAGAUUCCUCCAUUCCAAGCAUUGUACAAUAGGCCCCCAUCUAUGUUGGCUGAAGCUGCAUUAUAUCCACCAGAGCACAAACAAGAGUUCAGCUCCAUCCUAACUGGAGAACAAGUGCCUGCUCAAAUUAAUGCCAACCUGAUCAAGGCUCAAGAAAGAAUGAAGCAUUUUGCAGAUAAGAAGAGAUCAGAGAGAUCACUUGCAGGGGGUGACAGGGUCUACCUAAAGCUACAACCUUACAAACACACCACUUUGAGUGUCCACAGGUGCCUCAAACUUCAUUCCAAGUACUAUGGCCCCUUUAGGAUCAUACAGAAGGUGGGACCAGUGGCAUAUAAACUACUCCUACCUGAUCACUGCAAGCUCCACCCCACAUUCCAUGUGAGUCAACUCAAGCUACACUUGGGGCCAAGAGCAAUACCCAACCCCAACCUACCCCUUCUCCAUGAGAAUGGAUCCAUCCUCCUAGAACCAGAGAAGCUGCUGCAGCAAAAGCUUGUUCCAAGAACACAAAGGGACAUACAAGUGGCAGUGGUUCGUUGGCUCAUCAAAUGGACCAACUUGGAUGAGAGUGAGGCCACAUGGGAAGACGCCGCUUUCAUUCAAAAGGUUUUUCCGCAAUUCAUCCCUGAGGAUAGGUCUGAUGUUGCGCGGGGGGAGUUGUCAGGACCCAGCGAAGACGAAGCCCGCAGCGUUCGAAUUCAAACGAUGGCGCCAAGCGACCACAGCCAUCGAUCCUUGAUCUAACGCCCUCCAGUCGCCCGUACCAGUUCGUGCGUGCCAGUUACUCCUGGAGUACUCGAUGAUUGAUCCGACGGCUGCGAGACUGUCCCGCGUUGCUGUAGCCAUCCGACAACGGCGCCAAGCGUCGGCCACCUUUCUACCCUACUUUACCUUGUUUUUAUUGCGUUGUAAGGCUAUAAAGCCAUGGAUUUCUAACUCGUGGAGCUAAGUUUUUCCUCUAGGCUUUCCCCAUUUUGCGCCGCCAGUGUUCCUGGCCGGCUUAGGUUACUCCUCUUGUAACCGAAUCCUUGGCAAUUUGCCUCUGAAAUCACCCCGAAACUACUCGGUUCUUCUUUGACAGUGUUCUUAAGAUCGUCGGGGCUGACACAUGUCGUGGUUAAUGAACGGACUUUGGAGAGGCUUUGGCGCGGCGGAUGGGUGGAUACAGUUGAGGUGCCCCAGAUCUGGCCGGUUUCGCGGUCGGGCGGAGCUUAGGGCAUGGAUGACGGCUGCUCUAGGUCAUGGCGUAGAUGAGGCUCCUCCAUGGACGACAACCAUUGCAGCUCCUACGAGAAGAAGCACGAGGGAGAGAGAGAUCUUGGAGAAGGGACGAGGGACAAGGGUACGGGGAGUGGGGUCAUGACCUCGUCAGCCGUCGGGGUGGCGCGACGACUCUAGCACACGAGGACGUGGCCAGGACGAGCUCCUCCCAGACGCGAGUGGGGAUGCAGAUGGGAUCAAGGGUAGCAGGAGGGAGAGCAUUCUCGGGGCCAUGGCGGGCGACACAACCCGGGCUGGCGGUGUAGCUCGCUAGCUGGCCUGAGCACUCGAGGUCGAUAAGGAGGCUAUGCCUCGGGCUGCUGGGGCUCUACAACAUGCGUACAAGGAGCCUCGGGCUCCUUGUUUGCGGCAGACGUGUCCAGGAGGACAUGCACGAACGGAUCAGCUGGAACUCUGGUUGGUUUUGGGGAGAAAAGAAGGUGGGCGGCGGCUGGAUCAGGAGCAGAUCCCGAGGGAGAUGUGGCUGGCAGCGUCGGAGGGACAAACUUCCUAAAUUUUAGGGUUUGGUCUGAUUUAAAUUAGGGUCUCAAUAUAUAGCUAGCGGGUUAGGUUUUAGGGGCAUAUGGACCCUCCGAUUUAGAUCGGUUGGUCGAGAUAAUUAGGUUAGGAAGUCCAAUGUACAAACCAAUGACGGUUUGCUGUAUUACGGGGUUGAUCCGGACCCAACGGUCACGACCAUGUGUUUCGGGUUUCGGGAGGUUUCUUGCUAGAUGCGCACAGGUCGGUGCACUAUGUAGAGGGGCUAGACGGGGAAGAGAGGGAAAACGGGCAGCCCGGCGACAUAAUUUUUAAAUACCAAAAACGUCUGACCAUUGGACCGGCUAGUGCCACUAUAGGUUUAAUGGUUCGGAUAUCAAACGAACACCGAUUGGUAUGAAAUUUGACAGGCGGUUUACCUACAUUAAAAUAACACCGCGCGUCGUGUUUCAACCCAAUCCAAGAAUGUUUUUACACACUGUAACGUGGGCGCGUGCGUGUGUGGUUGCUCUCGAAACGGUCAACGACAAAAGCGGAGAGAACCAAAAACUAAUAAUGAAUGCAAGUUUUCAAAACUGACGUCAAUGAAGUGCUGAUGCAAUGUGGAUGAUGCGAAUGAUGCGAUUAUGAAUGCAACAAAUAAAAUAAUCACACGACGGCAACAGAAUAGAAGGGGAAUCUUCUUGAGCAUCGAUCUCGAGUUGUUACAGGUAUCCCAAGGGAUCUUCUUUUAAUAUUGUUGGCUAUUCUUGCUCGGACUAUGCCAGAGACAACGUUGAUAGGAAAUCCACGUCAGGAACAUGUCAAUUUCUUGGGGUAUCUCUUGUGUCUUGGUCAUCCAAGAAGCAAAAGUCGGUAUCUUUAUCUACUCCCGAAGUUGAAUAUAUAGCCGUCGGAUCAUGCUGUGUGCAAUUACUAUGGAUUACUCAAACUCAAAAGGAUUAUGGAAUUCAUGUUAUACAUGUUCCAUUUUUGUGUGACAAUGAAAGCGCUAUUAAAAUUGCCUAUAAUCCUUUGCAACAUUCUCGAACUAAACAUAUUCAAGUGCGACAUCACUUCAUUCGUGAUCAUGUUGGUAAAGGAGGUAUAGAUCUUAAGCAUGUUCAUACCGACAACAAAUUAGCUGAUAUCUUUACAAAACCACUUGAUGAGAAAGUGUUUUGUCAUUUGAGGAGUGAGUUGAACAUCAUUGAUGCUUUAAACUUGAGCUAGACUCACUCGGAUGCAUGCAAGGGCAUGAGCUUAAUUGACUAUUCCUUGAUGCUAUUGUUAUGAAACUAUCUUAUAUCUUGAAAACUAUAGGCUCCCUUGUACUGAAUGUUUUUGUAGCUACUUGGAAGAACAACACUUCACAAGAUUUCCAUCAACUCAUAUCAAAAGCAAUCUUGACAUAGCCAAGUAUCAAUAAUCCCUUCUUCGAAGAUGGAGGAAGAAGACAACAAAAUCAUAUGCUUGACAAUUAUAUGAGGACAUAUUUCACUCAUGUCAUUUGCAUAUAUUAUGUUCUUCCUUUCAUGACUAACCAUUGUAGGUGAAAAGUGAACCAAAACGACAAGGAUAGCUUACCAACUCAAGAUGAUCUUCACCAACUUGGAGUAUCCAUGACAAGUUCACCUACAUGCCAUGUCAUCAACAUCAUUCAAAGGUAUGUACUCAUAUCGUUGAUAAAGCUUUGCACCAACUCAUGAGGUAAGGCAACUCAAGCGAUAUGAAGACAUUAAUAUGCUUAAGCGCAAAAUGGGUCGCUUAACGAUGAGUGUGACCUAUUAUCAAGCAUUCUUGCUUGACUCCUCAAGUCAAAUACUCUAAUAUAGUUGAUCUAGUCACCGCCCCACAUCUAGAUGGAGAUACUUGUAUGGUCACAUUUUUCAUUGCAUGUUUUCUUAGAACCAUUGAAUUCUCAUCGAUAUGUAUGUAUAUUUCAAAGAACACAAAAAACUUAUCAUUUGUUCUUGUUUUAUGUUUUCUUUCACAAUUGGUAUCUUAUAACAAUAUUUUGAUUAUUCUCUACCUAUUUUCAGUUAAGGAGUUGAUUUUCGUUGCAACUCGGUUUCACCGAUCUCGGAAACUCGUUCCAACCAAUUUCCCCCAGAGGCCUCAUGUGAUUCUCGGUUUACCGAACCAUAUUGCCUUGGUGUCUCCAAAAUUUAUCACUGCCUUUGAUUUUUUGGUAACUUCUAGAAUUUUGCCUUAGGGGGAGAAAGGUUAUCAAUGUUCCCAAGUUUUAUUUCCUUGUAAGACUUUCUUGCACAUUUUGGAAGACAAUAUUAGUUAUAGCGUAAUUUUCUAGGGGGAGGAAAUUUCUCUAGGGGGAUAAACCCUCAAUGAUACCACAAUAUAAGAGGGAGAAUCAUCUAGGAUCCCUAACCUUGGGGGAGAUAGUUCAAAGAACUCUUUUCAAUUCUUAAGGGGGAGAAAAGUCAAAUUUCAAGGAAUCCUUAUCAAGAGAGGAGUAUCAAGGAUCCCUUUCUCUCAAUGAGCCCUUACCCUCUGACCUUUUUGGAACUUAAUACCAAAGGGCGAGAAAUAUCAAAGCUUCCAAUGAGCCUAUAUAUAGGAGGAGAAAUAUCACCAAUAAUCUUACACAAAAGGGGGAGAAAUAUCAAUAUGGGGAGAUAUAUGUUCCAAAGGGGAGAUCUACCUAAAUGGAGAUGUAUCCAACCAUACUUAUUGAGGGAGAGAGAGAUAGAAGUGUUUCAGUUAUGACUAUUCUAUCACUAUCUUUUGAUUGAACUUGUCUUGCCCUACCUACUCCGAAUAUCUACAUGCUAUGAUUCAGGGGGAGAGGAAAUUCUUACAUAUUCAUCCUUAGGGGAGAAAGUUCUAAAUUAUCUUGGAGACAUAUCUAUCAUCAAAACCUAUUUUGAAUAUUUCUUCAAUAUCUUGGUACUUUUGAAGCUCUUUGCAACUUUACAAUAGAGUACUCUUGUGUUAUCUAACAUUUGUUUUCCCAAGUAUACUCUUAUUGCUAAGACGCUCAAGAACCUCAAGGUAAGUAUAUGCAUCAUAUCCUUGUUCAUGAUGAUCUCCUAUCUCUUGCACAUAUGUUUGCAAGAGUAAGUCAUGAACAUGGAAGCUCUUCAUUCACAUAUGUUUGACGCAUAUAGCCAAGAUCUACACGACUUGUAUUGUCCUACUACAAUGUGUGUGCCCUUGCAGUCCAAAGCCACUAUCCUUUAAAAGGGAUUGCACGCAUUUAGGGGGAGCAUGUACUACUCAUGUAUCUUUUAAAGUUGUCAUAUUCUAAUGCCUAUAUUUAUUUGAAGCAUUGAUUGUAUGUUGUCGUCAAUUACCAAAAAGGGGUAGAUUAAAAGCAGAUUUGCUCCCUUGGUGGUUUUGAUAAUUCAUGACAACACACAUUGUCUCUUGAACUAACACUUUUACCUAGUAUGUUUAAGUUUAGUCCACAAAGAGAUUUGGCUAAAGGAUUGUGAGGAGAAGACCCUUCAUGAAGGAAGGAAUAGGAUUGGCUAAAGCUUCAAGAAAGAAGACUCUUCAUUUUACACUUGGUGAGAAAUCACUAUUGAGUCCAUAGGAAAGCCAAUACUAUUAAAAGGGGAUGAGGUAUUAUGAUGAAUUGGUUGUUCAAGUGCUUCGAGAUAGCCAGCAAACACUCGGCCACUUUCCCACAAAAUACAUCUGUCCAAGACAAAUAUGCAAAAUUGGUGCCACCAACAUUUCCCACUCGGCUAUACCGAUUUUAUACUUAGACAGAUCCUAUGUCAAUCCCACCAUCUCGGUACCACCAACAUUCCAAUCGGUGCCACCGAGAUUGGGUGACCAACAUUUUGUUGAGCUAACUUCAAGUUUCAGAAUUUCUGAGUUUGAAGUCUAUAUCACCAAGUUUGGAAACCAGUCUAGGUCAUACUAUCGGUACCACUGAGAUUCCUAUAUCGGUCUUACCGAGAAUUCAAAGUUGCCACGUUUAGUGCAACUCGGUACCACCGAGAUUAACAUUUCGGUGUCACCGAGUUGGGCAAUAAUGUUGUAACGGUUGGAUUUUGGAAGAUGCCUAUAUAUACCCCUCAACCUACCUAUCACUCGUAGAGGAAGCACUCAGAACACACUUACACUUUCCAGAUCCUUUUUUUAGAGAGAGCCACCUACUCAUGUGUUGAGAUCAAGAGAUUCUAUUCCUAUCAUGAGAGAGCUAAUCCUAUGUGGACGGAAGUCAUAGUCGAAUAGACAAGGCCGCUUCUUCAUGGACCCCUUGUGGGCGAACCCCUCCGUGUACUCUCGGACCCAUCACCCUCCGUGUGUUGAAGUCUCCACUAACAUGGUGGUACCAUAGCGCCACCUGUCAGAACCAUGCCAAAAAUUGCCAUGUCAACUUCUUUGCCUUUGAUCUUCCAAAACUCUACUUCUUACUACAUGUGCAAAGUCUUUANNNNNNNNNNNNNNNNNNNNNNNNNNNNNNNNNNNNNNNNNNNNNNNNNNNNNNNNNNNNNNNNNNNNNNNNNNNNNNNNNNNNNNNNNNNNNNNNNNNNNNNNNNNNNNNNNNNNNNNNNNNNNNNNNNNNNNNNNNNNNNNNNNNNNNNNNNNNNNNNNNNNNNNNNNNNNNNNNNNNNNNNNNNNNNNNNNNNNNNNNNNNNNNAACCAUUAAAUUGGGAAAAGGCUAGAAUUUUAAUUUAUGCAAGUAGUCUGUUCACCCCCCCCCCUCUAAACACCUCUUUUAUCGAUCACUCACACUUGCACUGUACCAACCCCAUUAAGCGCGUUUUUGACUUAUUUCUAUUUCCCUCUUGCCUAUUUUAGUUGUUUAACUUGGCUUCUCCAAAUAGGAUGGUGACUGCAACCCGAACCAGCACUUUUGGCAGCUCCGACACCGUCAACUCUAGCCAGCAACCAGAGGCUGGUGGGUUUGCUCAAGAUGGAGAUCACCAGGAGGAGCCACAAGGCAACAUUCACCCACCACCACCUCCACUUGAGAGCAUGACCAUAGCUCAGUUUCUCCAAGUUCUCAGAGAGGAAUGUCAAGCCAACACUACUACUAUCCAGUAGAUGUCUCGAGUCUUUGUGAAUAACCAACAACAAGGCAGAAAUGGCAAUUGUCGUUCCACUUUGUCGGAGUUCAUGAGGAAUUCAGCCCCAACCUUCACCGAGACUGCUGAACNNNNNNNNNNNNNNNNNNNNNNNNNNNNNNNNNNNNNNNNNNNNNNNNNNNNNNNNNNNNNNNNNNNNNNNNNNNNNNNNNNNNNNNNNNNNNNNNNNNNNNNNNNNNNNNNNNNNNNNNNNNNNNNNNNNNNNNNNCUGAACCUCUAGAUGGUGAUGACUGGAUCCGCACCAUCCAGGACCUCCUUGCAUUGGUCAACUGAAAUAUGGACCAUGAGAAGGUUCUCUAUGCCUCACAUUUCCUUGAAUGUACCGCGAAAACUUGGUGGGAUGGAUUAAAGGUCAAGCAAGGUGACCAUGUGAUCAGGUGGGCUAAUGGGUAUCAAGAAGCGGGAAUUUUGAGCGCUGAAGCAAGUAAGUGGCUCCAUCGAGGAGUACUUGCAAAAGUUCAAUAUCCUAUCGAGGUGUAUACCUGAAGAUGUUAGCACUAAGGCAGGCAAGAUAGAACGUUUCAUGGAAGGACUCCAGCAAGUACUAUAGUAUGAACUCGUUGUAUGUGACUGUCGGACUGUCUUAUAGUUGGUGAACAAGGCCCUCAUGCUUGCAGAUAAGCGCCAUGCCAUGGAAGACACUCGCAAGCGCAAGAUGAUCACAAAUGGCAGUUCCAGCAGCCAAAAGCCUCGCCCGUGGCAACUAGCCCCAGCAAAGCCAAACUAUCAGCCUGAGCAGGCCAAGACUCCCACACCUCGUCCGAGCUACUAGCCUCAGUAGUAUGCCAACCCCAAUUCAGCAUAAAAAAACCCCAAUAAAACAUUGGUGGCAAUACCAACAACUUUGGGCAGGUCACGUGCUUUGGUGUGGUCAGAGUAGACAUAUCUCAAAGAAGUGACCCAACAGGAAGCCUGAUGCACUGCGUCCCAAUGCGCCAAACCAAGGACAAGGUAGUCGAGUGCCACCAAGGAACCAAGCUCCCCGCAACCAGCCGAACAAUGGCAAGGGUCGUUUGAAUCAAGUCACUACUGAGGAAGCCCAGGAAGAUCCAGUUGUUAUACUGGGUAUGCUCCUUGUCANNNNNNNNNNNNNNNNNNNNNNNNNNNNNNNNNNNNNNNNNNNNNNNNNNNNNNNNNNNNNNNNNNNNNNNNNNNNNNNNNNNNNNNNNNNNNNNNNNNNNNNNNNNNNNNNNNNNNUGGGUAUGCUCCUUGUCAACUCCAGCCCAACAAUAGUUCUGUUUGAUUAUGUUGCCUCACAUUCUUAUGUCACUAAAAAGUUUGCAGCAGAGAGUGGUAUGAAGCCUACACCUUCGAGUAGUCAUAUGAUGGUACUAACCCCAGGUGCGGUAGUAAGGACAAAGAUAGGAUGUAAAGGAGUUGGGAUUAACAUCAACGGAGUAGACUUCCUAGCACACCAUAUCAUCCUGAAGUCGCAAGGUUUGGAUGUGAUCCUUGGCAUGGAUUGGUUGAAAAACCAUCGAGGCUUGCUAUACUGUUACCAUGACUAAUAGCCAAGGAGUCGAAGUCAAGUAUGUUCCCAAUCCUACCUCUGCUCAAGCCCCUCGAGUAAAUUGUGUGUCGGGAAUUGAGUUGGAUCAGGUGCCACUGAUAUGUGAAUACCCAGAUGUCUUUCCUGAUGAGCUGCCCAGAAUGCCUCCUGACCGUGACAUUGAGUUCAUCAUUGAACUAGUGCCCGGAGUAAGACCCAUCUAUAAGAAUCCCUAUAGAAUGGGAUUCGAAGAGUUGGCUCAACUGAAGAAGAAACUAGCAGAUCUGCUCAGAAAAGGAUUUAUUUGUCCUAGUGCCUCUCCUUGGGGAUCACCUUUCCUAUUUGUGUCAAAGAAGAAUGGAACGAUCCGACUCUGUGUCGAUUGCCAUUCUCUCAAUGAGGUCACAAUAUAGACCAAGUACCCACUCCCCAAGAUAGAGGAACUGUUCGAUCAAGUGAAUGUUGCCAAGGUGUUGUCCAAGAUCGGUCUCAUGUCUGGGUACUAUCAGAUGAAGGUAAGACCCCAAGACAUUCCGAAGACGACAUUUCUGACCAGGUAUGGCAUGUGUGAGUACACGGUCAUGUCCUUUGGGUUAACCAAUGACCCAACCUACUUCAUGCACGUCAUGAACAAAGUCUUCAUGGGUAUUUAGACAAGUUUGUUGUUGUCUUCAUCAAUGACAUACUCGUCUUGUCCAAGUCUGAAGAAGAGCAUGAGCAACACUUGAGGAUGGUCCGGGAUAAGAUUCGAGAGCACCAGCUUUAUGCCAAAUUCAGCAAGUGUGAAUUUUGGCUGCAUGAAGUUGGGUUCUUGGGUCAUGUGUUGAUGGCAAAAGGAUUGUCAUUGGAUCUUGUCAAGAUUAAUGUCGUGACUGAAUGGCAAUCUUCAAGCAAUGUGAAGUAAAUUAGAAGCUUCCUCGGACUCGCGGGAUACUACCACAAGUUCAUUGAAGGAUUAUCAAGCAUUGAUUGACCUAUGAUUCAACUCUUGAAGAAGGACAAGAAGUUCGAGUGGACAACAAAGUGUGAGGAGAGCUUCCAAGAGCUCAAGAAGAUAUUGACAACAACCCUAGUUUUGGCCACCCCUGAUAUUCAUACGGAGUUCGUGAUGUAUUGUGUUGCAUCAAGAACCGGGCAUGGUGGUGUUCUGAUGCAAGAUGGUAGAGUCAUAGAAUAUCUAUUUAGACACCUACGUCCUCACGAAGAGAACUAUGCCACUCAUGAUCUUGAGUUGGCAGCAGUUGUUCAUGCCUUGAAGACAUGGCGACAUUACCUUCUAGGGAAGUGAUGUGAGAUAUACACGGACUACAAGAGUUUGAAGUAUAUUUUCCCUCGAAAGGAAUUGAACAUGAGGCAACGGAGAUGGUUGGAUUUGAUCAAAGAUUAUGACCUGAGUGUUCAGUACCACCCUAGAAAGGCCAAUAUGGUAGCAGAUGCAUUGAGAAGAAAGUCAUGUUCCUUGAAUGCCAAGAUUAAGGAAAGUCUACCCGCCUUGUAUGAGGAACUUGAGAGCUUCCGGUUGGAGCUUGUUAUACCAGGAUUCAUAGCCAUCCUCUAAGUGAAGCCUACAUUGAUGGAUGAUAUCAAUGAAGCUUAUAAGGGACAUGAAAGCAUUGAAGGCAUCAAGAAGAAGAUCAAGAAAGGCAAGGCUCCAGGAUUCUGAGUGGAUGAAUAAGGAGUCGUGUGCUAUGGGAAUCGCAUCUGCAUACCCAACAAAGUUGAUCUCAGGAUCAUGAUCUUGCAAGAAGCUCAUGACACUCUGUAUUCCAUCCAUCCUCAAGGACCCAAGAUGUAUAAAGACCUCAAGGCAAGAUUAUGGUGGCAUGUCAUGACGAGAGAGAUAGCCUCCUAUGUCGCUAAGUGUGACAUAUGCGAGAGUGUCAAACCUGGGCAUCAGCGAUCCGGUGGAUUGCUACAACCUCUCAAGGUGCCUAAACGGAAGACAGACAAAGCCAAGAUGGACUUCAUCACCGGAUUUCCCACAUCAAGCGAAGGACAUGAUUCCAUUUGGGUCAUUGUCGAUGACGUGACCAAGGUAGCCCACUUCAUUCCCAUCAAGAGCUCUUACGAUAGACACAAGUUAUCUAGUCUUUACAUCAAGCAUAUUGUGAGACUUCACGGUGUUCCAAAGGAGAUCGUGUCAGACCGCGGUACAAAUUUUACCUCAAGGUUCUGGAAGCAGUUUCAAGAAGCCAUGUGUCGGUGCACUAGAGACUGGGGUCCCUUGUGCCCCAAACUUGUGCACGGGACGGGCAACGCCCCUCACAGCGGCGCACGAGGAAGAAUGGCAGGAAGGAAAACCAAGACCCACCGAGGCCACGCCCUCCCCUGUCCUAGGGCGUGGAGUACGAGAGCUCCAGAUGCAUGGCCCCGGCAAGCCCUCCUUGCCGAAAAGAUUCGCAAGGCCCCGACAAGCCCUCCUUGCCGGGAAGGCUCCCGAAGACUCGCAAAACCCCAGCAAGCCCCUCUUGCCGGGAAGACUCGCUAAGCCUGGCGAGGCCCCCGGCAAGCCCUCCUUGUCGGGAAAGUGUUCAAGCCCCCGGCAAGCCCUCCUUGGCGGGAAGAUAACCAAGUCAUCUAACAGGGAUGCCAGGCCAGUAAGCCCCUUCUGCUCGCCAGGUGUCCUCCCCCGUUUCUACCACAAUCCGACCCCUCCAGCGCAUCCUUCAUGCGCCAGCACAUGACCCAGGUGUCGAUUCACCUUGGUACGUCUCGCGACCACUUCGCUGCAGGUCAAGGGUCAGACAAGGCAUUUACUGCCCCUGACACCACCGUAGAAGAGGAGCGGGAACACUGUUCACUAUGCAACCCGUGAGCACACUGUUGGUGACCCCUUUGCCUAUAAAUGAGGCCCAAGGGUCAUUCUAGAGGUUGGACAUUUGGGGAUUUGGGACUACCUAAUCACCAGCUAAGUUACUGUAGCAAAUCACCCUACAGUAACCACACAAUACAAACUAAGCAGGAGUAGGGUUUUACGCGCCAAGCAGCCCAAACCUGGGUAAAGGACCUUGCCGGUGUUGAUCGCUAGCUCUGCUCUCGAUGCCACCUCUCUCUCCCCCCGCCGAAUGAUCAAGGGACUCCUCGAGUUUCCCAUAGGUUCCGGUUUCCCCGACAUCUUUGGCGCGCCAGGUAGGUGGCGGUGGUUGAGAGUUUUAUCACGGAUUCAAGCAAAUUCGCACCAGAUCUUGGGAAGUUGAACGCACCAAUGCGGUCCCUCGAAGCAGGACGCAGCAGUGGUCGCUCUACUUCACCAUGGCCUCCUAACGCGUGGGCGAGCGCUCCACUGCGCGAACGCAAGCUAGGGGGACGGAGACCCCGAGCUUGAAGACAUCAAGUUGACGCACCGCUCCAGGACAACGCGUUGUUGUCGACAGUGUGCCUGGCGGCUUCGGCGAGGCCUCCGGCGCAUACUCCAGAUGACACACCUCCACGAAGUGAUGCAUAGCCGCCGAGGAUGCGCCGACAGGCCCCGAAUACUAGGCACACACUCCAGCGGAAAUGCUUUCCCCCCUGGAAGCAGCACGUCACCGUUGAAGAUGCGGUCGGGGGCUCCGCUAACACGGCAUAGCAAAACAGGAAAAGGAGUUAUACUCCGGCAAACCCCUUCUAAACGAUAGUCAAGGACUAUCGGCAAGGACCUUGCUGGAGAGGAAGUUGCCGGGAAAGUGUAACCUCCUGCUUGCCGGGGAUCUGAGGCCCCAGCAAAGGACCCAAGCACCGCGGGGAGAAGUGCUGCGGCUUGACAGAUAAGUGAUAGAUAUUCUAUAUGAAAUUUCAGAGUAGACAGGUUGCUUCCUUUCUGGAGAUCUCUAACCUUGUUUUAGAAACUUGCACGUAGAUGGAACCUUGUCAGGAUCAGUGCCUUCGCACUGUCUCGAACCUGUUGAACACACCAAGCGGCUACACAACACCUUAUUUCAACUCGAGCCGCGCUCGACGAUCUAACGGUUGCACUCAGUGCGGCAAGAAGCCUUGCCGGUAAGGACCCCUGCAGCAAACUGGAAAGGAUCCAUUCCUCAAAGCACUAGCGACAGGACCAGUCACGCCAGCAAGCUUCCGGAAAAUGCAAAGGGUGUAUCAUGCAAGCGGAAGGAUUGGAUGCAAGGGAAACAACAUUUCAUUCAUUUGUUUGAAACAAACUCACACAUAUUACAUGGAUGAUUUUUAAUACUCUAACCUAUGAUACUGUCUUUUGGCGAGGGACACGCUUGCCGGCCUGAAGUUCAAGAAGACAAAAAGGCGGAGCUCGCCAAGAGCCUGCCCUGCCAAGAGCGCCACUGCCGCCGCUGUCCUCCUUGUCGCAAUCGCUCGAGGAGGGACAUUUGGCGCCGCUCGAGCUCUCUUUGCAGCAGCCGAGACGCACACCAGAGCGCCCAUAAAACUUGAUUGAUGGCAUAUUAUCCCCCGCUAGCUUAAAGCGGAGGACAUGCCCAUCCUCGAGGCUGUGGGCACAGGCGAAGGCUUUCCAGCCCCGCCCGAGCAAGAUGGAGCGGCGUUUCGGGUACUCCACGUGCAGCUGAAUAGCGCCGUGGGAGCAACCGUACGCCCGCAACCACAAGAUGGGAGGAUUGGCGGCCUCCAUCACCCUAACAAAAGGGCGAGGGAGGUGCAGAUGGCCCCGAAGUACGCCGUGCAGUUCCACGAUGAACUCCAGCGCUGUCCCAUCUGAGUGCCCGCCCCAUGGAGGAGAAUACAACGCUCGGAGAGAAGACGAUGGUGCUGGAGUAGCACUCCACCUUCCCUGGCCAUGACCUCCGCAGCGACAGCAGCCCCUCGCCCGUCCGCCACCUCGGGCGCUCGUGCUGCCCUCCGCAGCUGCGGCCCCUGAAGCUGUGGCAUGAUCUGAAUGGGAUCCCCUUGCCGUCUUGGCAGCCGAUGGUGGCCGCCCUCGUCCCCUAGCCAUGGUUAGGGGCAAGCGCCACCUAGAACCGGAGAAGAAUCCCCAGAUGCAAGUCAGGGGUGCUGAAUGUUUCAGGAGUUGGAUGGAUGAGCAAAACCCCAGCGCAAACUUCCUAAUUUAUAGGGCAAGGCGUGGGGGCUAGCUCUCCUCACUCCAGAAACCGCCGGCCCUCUCGCCCAAUCACCCAUGAUCACGCGCAAACAGGGAACCGCCCUGCUGCACUAAUGCAUGCAGGGGCGGGCCCUGCCAUGACUGCGACCAUUAAGGCUACGAACGCCACUUUCCUGACUGUUAUUGCGCAUGCCUCCCGAGUGGCAGUAAUGCGUCGGGAGGUGGGGAGGCCAUUGUGCGCACACUUCUCCACCUCGCGAGCUCGAUGCGCGACGUUGGAAAGUGCCGCUCGCAACGGCUGCAAAACUAUAGAGUCCCUACCAUGGAAGCUUGUGAACUAGUUUGGGCCUGGCCCAGCAAUGCCCCACACAUGUGUGUGGCCCAGGCCCGGGGGCUCCUGUCGGUGCACUAGAGACUAGGGUCCCUUGUGCCCCGACUUGUGCACGGGCACCGGCAACGCCCUUGGCAGCAGCGCAUAAGGAAGAAUGGCAGGAAGGCAAAUGAAGACCCAUGGAGGCCACGCCCUCCACUCUGCGAGGGCGUGGAGUACGAGAGCUCCAGAUUCAAGGCCACGACAAGCACUCCUUACUGGGAAGAUUCGCAAGGCCCCGGCAAGCCCUCCUUGCCGUGAAGUCUCUUGAAGACUCGCAAGACCCCGACAAGCCCCCCUUGCCGGGAAGACUCGCUAAGACUGGUGAGGCCCCCGACAAGCCCUCCUUGCUGGGAAAGUGUUCAAGCCCCUGGCAAGCCCUCCUUGCUGGGAAGAUAACCAAGUCAUCCAACAGGGAAGCAAGGUCAGCAAGCUCCUUCCGCUCGCGAGGUGUGCUCCCCCAUUUCUACCACAAUCCGACCGCUCUAGCGCAUCCUUCAUGCGCCAGCACAAGACCGAGGUUUAAAUUCACUUGGGUACGAGGAACGACCACCUCGCUGCAGGUCAGGCGUCAGACAAGGCAUUUACUGCCCCUGGCACGACCGUAGAAGAAAAGCGGUGAUCACUUUUCACUAUGCAACCCGCGAGCACGUACACUCUUGGUGACCCCUUUGCCUAUAAAAGGAAGCCCAAGGCUCAUUCUCGAGGGUUGGACUUUUUGGGAUUUGGGACUCCCUAAUCACCAGCUAAGUUACUCUAGCAAAUCACCCUAGAGUAAAGACCAAUUACAAACUAAGCAGGAGUAGGGUUUUAGGCACCAAGUGGCCCAAACCUGGGUAAAGAACUAUAAGUGCAUCUAGUGCCCCUUAGUGAUUUUGGUGGUUUGAAGACUUAUAGGUUAAGUAUCUAAUGUGUUUGUGAGUGUACACAGGAUCUAUAAGUCAUUGAGGAGUUUGAGAUAUUUGAAGAAUAUCGACCCCUAAGAAUGUAUGUCUUCAGUUGAAGAAAUUGGUCUGAAGCUGAAGAAAUGAAUCGCGAGGAAUCUGCGAUGAAAUUGAUAUUCCUCAUGAAGAUACUAAUAUUGAGAAGUCCGGUGUGUCCUGAAGAAAAUCACUCUGAAGAAUUUAAAGCAUGAAGAUUAACACUUUCUGUUUUAUUUUCUUCGCAUUUGAGUAAUAGGAACAUCGUAUAGUUAAAGGGGGUCGAAGUUACACUUUGGAAUGAAUUUCCUCAUGAUGCUCAACCCAAGCCUAAAUCCUACCAAAAGCCUCAAGUGAGGAAUACGAGUGAAAUGAGGACUCUCAUAGUUGAGGGUCUCGACCGUUUCGAUAGCCACGCCAAGUCAUUUGUCUUCUCCACUCCAACGGUCAUAUUAUUUAAGGGCAUUAGUGUCAAAUCAUGUCGGGAUGCUCCCAGGCUAUAAAUAGCCACCCCCCACAACCACUAGCUGGUUGGCUGCUCUUCUAGAAACUGACACUUGUCAUAAGAGCAACCCAAUUCCUCAGAGUCUUCAAGAGUAAUUCAUAAGUGAGGAAAUACACCAUGCACCGAAACCACAAACCAAACCUAGUGAUUGAGCAUCACUGAAGAAGUUGUUCCUGUGUGGGACUGAAGCCUUUUACCUUUGAGGACUGUGCAUCCUCCAGACGGUUAGGCGUCAAGGUCUAGAGCUUUCCAGCAGUCAAUUGUGGAUCGCCGGGUGACCAAGUUUGUGAGGGUUUGGAUGUCUUCCCUGAAGACUUACCACGAGUGUUGGGCGAGGACUGUGUGUCGUUAGCUCAAGGAGAAUACGGCAGGGACUGUGUGUCCCGGGAUUGUGUGUCCUUUGGUUUCAAUACCAAGCCGCUCCAAACCAGAUGGACAAGUGUCACAGCAGUUGGAACUGGGUCAUCAACGAUUGUCUUCACUGAGAAACGGGUUCUAAUUCCUCAACUCCUUACUUUUCUCGUAUUAUGUGUUGAUGACUUUCACUGCAACUAUUUGAAGAAUUUGCUGAAGACUUUCUCUGAAUUUCCUCAACCCCAAAUUCUUCACGUUAGUUAAUCCACAUCUUUAUUCUGCGUGCCUGCUCACUGUGCAAUCUGUUUUCACAUUCUUCACUCUGAAAAACUGCUGUGGUGAAACUUUGCACUUCUGAUCCUUUACUCUGAAAAAAGGAAUUUCCUCAGUGAUGAAAUUCUAAAAAUCUCCUAUUCACCCCCUCUAGUCGAUAUAACGCACUUUCAAUUGGUAUCAGAACAAGGUACUCCCUUGUUCUGUGUGAUUUUGGUUUAACCACCUGGAGUUUUAGUUAUGUCGACUGCAGGCAUGUUUAAGGUGACUGCAGCAUGUCCUACCUAUGAAGGAAAGAACGUUCCCUUCUGGAAGAACAAAAUGCAAAUGCAUCUACAAGCUAUUGAUAAUGAUCUCUGGUAUAUUGUGGAACAUGGCGUUCCCAUCAUCUCUGCCAGUGUGUGUGCUGCUGAUGUGAAGAAAUUCAAGCAACUCGAUUCUCAAGCGAAGAACAUCAUCUGUGGCCAUCUGAGCCCAGGCCAGUUUGGAAGAGUAAGUGCUUUGGGCUCUGCAACACUGAUCUGGGACAGACUGUGCAAGGUAAAUGAAGGAGUAUCAACCCAGCGUGACUCUCGUGUUGAUAUUCUUCGCAAUCUCUUCAAUCGCUUCAAGAGACAUGACAAUGAAAGCUGCCAAGACACCUUUGGUCGCCUCAGUGACAUAUCAAAUGAAUUGCAAGCACUGGGAGCUCGAGACAUCACUGAUCACGAAGUUGUGAAGAAACUGCUGAGAUCUUUGGAUUCUUCAUUUGAUACUUUAGUUCUGAUGAUUCAAGAAAGACCAGAUUACAAGAUGCUUGAUCCAGCUGAUAUACUAGAAAGGCUAAAUACUCAUGAAUUCCAGCUAGAAGAAAAGAGAGAUCUAUAUGGACCAAGCUAUUCCAGACCACGUGCACUGAAGGCUAGAGCAAUUUCCUCAUCUGAAGACGAAGACACAGAUGACAGCAUUUGUGACCCUGAAGAAUUUGGACAGGAGCUUGCAAUGCUCGUGAGGAAAUUCCAGAGAUUUACACCACGUGGUCAGUUCGGUAAAUCUUCAAGAAGAGACAUGAGGAAAUCAGAAUCUUCAUCUGAGGACUACAAGAAACGAACCUAUCACAAGUGCAAGAAAUCAGGUCAUUACAUUGCUGAUUGUCCCCGUUGGGGAAAGGAAUCAAAGAAGAAGAAAUACAAGGAUGACAGUUCUGAUGGCUCGAAGAAGAAGAAGAAAUCUUCAAAAUCCUCAUCUUCAAAGCCCUCAUCACACAAGAAGACUAGUUUCAGAAAGGCUCGGGCACUUAUUGCCAAGGAAAUGGACUCCGAGGCAGAAUCAGAGGAAUGUGAUGAAGAAGAGGGUUCUGAUGAAGACUCCGAAUCCGGACAGGCUAGUCUUGCACUGGCAACCACUUUCGUCAGCAAGUCAAUCUUCAAUCUUGAAGAAUAUGAUUACACCAUCCAUACUGAUGACUAUGCUGAUGACUUCGCUCCAACCUAUUGCUUCAGGGCAAAAGGUUCAAAGGAUGAGAAACCCAAGAAUACUGAGUGGGUUCUUGAUAGUGGUUGCACACAUCACAUGAUUGGUGAUAAAAGCAUACUGAUGAAUAUGCCACUAACUCCAUCACCUCUGAAGGAAAUCACAUAUGCUGACAAAGGUAAAAGCAAGGUAUUGGGACUUGGCAAAGUGGCUAUUUCCAAGGAUAGGCAUAUGGACAAAGUGAUGCUUGUUGAAUCCCUUGGUUUUAACCUUAUGUCAGUCUCGAUGCUUUGUGAUCUUGAUAUGAUUGUUAUCUUUGGUAGAUAUAGAUGUGUAGUCAUUAUGGAAUCUGACAGAUCCAAAGUCUUCGAAGGUGUAAGCAGAGGGGAUUUGUACAUUGUUGAUUUCUCUACAGGUCCUCAACCAACCACUUGCUUACUAGAAAAAACCUCAGAAGGUUGGUUGUGGCACCGAAGACUAGGUCAUGCAGGCAUGAGGAAUUUGCACACGCUCGCGAAGAAGAAGCAUGUCAUCGGCAUCGAACCAGUCAAAUUCCUCAAGGAUCAUCUCUGCGGUGCUUGUGAAUCUGGGAAAAUGACCAGAUCCAAGCAUCCCUCGAAGACUGUCAUGACCACUACACGUCCAUUCGAAUUGCUUCAUAUGGAUCUAUUUGGACCUACUCACUAUGCCACACUAACCAAUGCAACAUCUUUAUAUGGCUUCGUCAUAGUUGAUGAUUAUUCCAGAUAUACUUGGGUGCAUAUCAUAGUGUAUAAAACUGAAGUGCAGGAAAUCUUCAAACGAUUUUCUUCAAGGGCCUCGACGAACUUUGGCAUCAAGAUCAAACAUAUCAGGAGUGAUAAUGCAAUCGAGUUCAAAAACACUAGUCUUGAUGAUUAUCUUGAUGAACUUGGUAUUACUCACGAAUUAUCUGAUCCUUAUACUCCUCAGCAGAAUGGUGUCGUCGAAAGGAAGAAUAGGACUCUGGUUGAAAUGGCAAGAACUAUGCUUGAAGAAUAUCAGACUCCUCGUCGCUUUUGGCCUGAAGCAAUCAACACUGCAUGCCAUAUCAUCAACAGGGUAUAUCUUCACAAAUUCCUCAAUAAAACCUCAUAUGAACUCCUCACUGACAAGAAACCCAAUGUAAGUUAUUUCAAAGUCUUCGGUGCAAAAUGCUGGAUUAGAGAUCCUCACCAUAGCUCAAAAUUUGCACCUAAGGCACAUGAAGGUUUUAUGCUCGGUUAUGGAAAGGACUGGCACACCUACAGAGUCUUCAACAACUAUCACAACAAAGUUGUUGAGACUGUAGAUGUGCGGUUCGAUGAAACUAAUGGCUCGCAAAGAGAGCAAUUGCCCUUUGAUCCAGAUAAACUGUCUCCUGAGGAAGCAAUAAAGCUCAACCCUACUGAAGGCAUUGUCCCCACUGAGGAAAUUGGUGAAGAAACGAUUCCCAUCACAGAUGAAAAUCAAGAAGAUGCUCCUGAGGAAAUUGCACCAGCACCACUUCCUCAGCCCAGACAAAAUCCUCAACCAGCUCAUCCGAGGAUUGCAAAUGAAGUAGAACUUGACAAAAUCCUCAACGACAUCAACGCGCCAGGUCCUCUCACUCUCAUAUUCUUCGAUUGCAAAUGAACUUAGUUAACUUUUGUGGGCAUUUCUCCUUUGUAUCCAUCACAGAACCCUCAAAAGUUGCUGAGGCUUUUCUGGAACCAGAGUGGAUCCAAGCUAUGCAAGACGAACUUCUUCAAUUCAAUCUGAAUGACAUAUGGGAGCUCAUCAAACGACCAGAUCCUCGCAAGCACAACAUCAUCGGUACCAAGUGGAUUUUCCAAAACAAGCAAGAUGAGUACGGUCAAGUGGUGAAGAACAAGGCACGACUUGUAGCCCAAGGCUACACCCAGGUUGAAGGGAUAGAUUUCGAUGAAACUUCUGCACCUGUUGCUAGACUUGAAGCUAUUCGAAUACUACUUGCUUAUGCUAAUCAUCAUAACAUCAUCUUAUAUCAAAUGGAUGUGAAAAGUGCAUUCCUCAAUGGUAAGAUUGAGGAAGAAGUAUAUGUUGCUCAGCCCCGAGGUUUUGAGGAUCCAAAGAAUCCAGACAAAGUCUUCAGACUCAAAAAGGCUCUUUAUGGUCUCAAGCAAGCCCCUCGGCCAUGGUAUGAUACAUUGAAGGAAUUCCUCAUGAAGAAAGGCUUUGAACCUCGUUCACUCGAUCCAACUCUUUUCACUAAAUCCUAUGAUAAUGAGCUAUUUGUGUGUCAAAAAUAUAUGUCGAUGAUAUCAUAUUUGGCUGUACUGACAAACGAUACAAUGAUGAAUUUGCUUACAUGAUGAGUGAAGAAUAUCAGAUGUCCAUGAAGGGGGAGCUGAAAUUCUUCUUAGGUCUUCAAAUUUGUCAACAAAGCAAUGAAAUCUUCAUAUCACAGGAGAAAUACCUCAAGGAUGUUCUGAGGAAAUUCGACAUGCAUGAAUGCAAAGGUGCCAAGACUCCAAUGCCUACCAACGGCCACCUCGGCACUGAUGAAAAUGGUAAAGAUUUCGAUCAACAGGUAUAUCGUUCUAUGAUUGGCUCUUUAUUGUAUCUAUGUGCAUCUAGGCCAGAUAUAAUGCUUAGUGUUUGCAUGUGUGCACGUUUUCAAGCAAAACCGAAGGAAUCACACCAUAAGGCUGUGAAACAUAUUCUUCGAUACUUAGCUCACACACCAACACUAGGAUUAUGGUAUCCCAAGGGCUCAAAUCUUCAUCUGGUAGGGUAUUCUGAUUCUGACUAUGCUGGUGACCGUGUGGAUCGCAAGUCAACUUCUGGCACAUGCCAUUUCCUCGGAAGAUCACUAGUUUGCUGGUCCUCAAAGAAGCAGAACUGCGUAUCACUCUCCACUGCCGAAGCUGAGUACAUUGCUGUGCUCAAUUACUAUGGAUGAAGCAAACACUCAAGGACUACGGCAUCAACAUGAAGAAUGUGUCUCUCUACUGUGACAAUGAGAGUGCUAUCAAAAUUGCAUACAACCCAGUACAACACUCGAAGACCAAGCACAUCCAGAUUCUUCAUCAUUUUCUUCGGGACCAUGUCCUCAAGGGCAAUAUCCUCAUCGACCAUGUGAAGACUGAUGAUCAACUGGCAGAUAUCUUCACUAAGCCCUUGGAUGAGAAAAGGUUUUGCAAGUUGCGGUGUGAGCUAAAUAUCUUAGAGUCUUCAAAUGUUUUGUAAAAAACAUGCACACAUCCUAACACUUAUGCAAAGUUGAUGACUUAGAUGUGCAACACAUGAUGAAUCGAUUUUCUUCAACUAAUGAAGAAUGUCACUCUGAAUGUGAAGAAAUUAACGAAGAAAUUGAUUCUCAGGGCCUACGACAAUUGUAGGCGGCGUAUGUAAUCAACAUUCUUAUAUGGUGGGUCACGCCACCGCCCAAUGUGAAAUUCCUCAAGUUGAUUUUGUUCAAGUGAUCAAUUUCCUCACAAUGUGUUUUUCUUCAAAACAGCUGUUCUUCAGUGUGAUGAUUUAUCACAAAAUCUUCAAAAACACUUGAUGACUUUCAUUUGACUAGAUAGACUGUGAUUUCAAGUCCUCAACAACAUUGAAUUAUUGCUACUUCUUCAAGUUGAUAUUUUUGCUAAGUGAAUGUGAUCGGACCCUACAUCCCCUCUAUGCUAUACUCAUCCAGUCUAUUCAAUUCUUCAUAUGCGUUCUACUUGAAACUUUGUUCAAAAUCCUCACUGCGUCCGUGUCAGCUGAUGAUUUUGUAACGAAAAUCCUCAAAUCUUCAAAAAUUGUUUCUUUAAUACACAGUAACUGAACCCCACUUCCCACGAUCGGAUACCCACGAUCUCCACUAUCUCCACCACACUAUUCGAGAGCUACACGUGUCCUGUGGAGACGUAGAGGCAUUUCCAGCACAGUGGNNNNNNNNNNNNNNNNNNNNNNNNNNNNNNNNNNNNNNNNNNNNNNNNNNNNNNNNNNNNNNNNNNNNNNNNNNNNNNNNNNNNNNNNNNNNNNNNNNNNCUGCUGUCACGGGGAGUGGUUUGGUGGACAGAGUGACGCGGGAGCCGAUGUGUAGCCGGAGAUCGACCGGAGCUCCGAGGCGGAGGGGCCUUGGUCGAUCUCGAGCACCGGGGCUCUGCGGGCUUACUGGGGUGGCUAGGGGGUGACUGAGGUUGAUGAGAUGAGGAAUGAGGGGUGCUGGAACGAGGGGAGGGGCUUUAUAUAGGCCCACGACGGUGUGCCGACUUGGGAGUGCCAGUGAUUCACCAUGGCGUUCAAGGGGGUGUAGAGAGGAGCUGGGGUCGAAACCACAGUUUCACGAUGUGGUUUUGGACUGCUAGGACUAACUGCGAGGGAGAUGGGGAGAGGAGAGGCGAGCUACCAUGGCCACGUAUCUCUGGCUGGUUCUGGUGCAUGCGGGCACGCGUCGCACCAGCUCUUAGCGCGGGAGAGGAGGAGCCCUGAUGAUAGCCUGAUGCAGAGGGGUUGCCGGGGGAGAGGAGAGACACAUCGGGGAGGCUGGAACUGGCCAAGNNNNNNNNNNNNNNNNNNNNNNNNNNNNNNNNNNNNNNNNNNNNNNNNNNNNNNNNNNNNNNNNNNNNNNNNNNNNNNNNNNNNNNNNNNNNNNNNNNNNNNNNNNNNNNNNNNNNNNNNNNNNNNNNNNNNNNGAGCGUCGCCCCCACCUUGGUGGCUCUUUGUAGCACACCUAGAGCGCAGCUUUGGCAUGCCACGGCAUGUUGGUGUGCUCUGGGGUGCCUUGGACGUAUCUAGCGUGUCCUGGGCACUGGCUGGGAGAUGCCUAGUCGUUGGAGACCCGUGGGAGCUUCGGCUAGUCUAGGGGGACAAAGAAAUCAGGUGCCGUCAGCCUUGAGUUGAAGCUUAUAUUGGGGUUUUUGGUUUUUCUCCUUUGAACCAUAGAGGGGCCAGUUGACUAGGGCUUGGCAUUGAUGCUAGCCACCUAAUCUGAGAGUUUGGGAGAAAGGGUUUGGGUUUAGCUAGGGUUAGGAGGGGUUUUAUCCAUCUGUCAGAACGUGCUCGACAAUGGUUUGGAGUGGUUUCACCCAACCACUCAUUUUGCAACUUAACGGGAUUGGGUUUGGUGCUAAAGCAAGGGGUUUCACCAAGUUUGAGCUCCAUUGGACAAGUUUAACUUUGUAAACUUGAAAACUUAACCAAAUGACCACAUAUGUUCCUUCCAAAGAGAGUAUGGGAAAAACAAGUCCCACAAAUCCCAUUUUUGGCAUGGAGUCCUCAUUUGAGGUUUUAGGCACUCCUGCAAAGUUUUAGCUCCAAUGGACAAACUUUGCUAUGUAGAGUUGAUCCAACUUCUUACCUGUGAGAAGGGUUUUGGCAACUAUUUGGUGAUAAUCACCUUUGAUCAAGGUGAAAUUUUAUAUGGGCACCGAAUAUGGCUUAGCGAUACCACUCGAAUUUUCUAGGAAUUUAUUGAGAAUANNNNNNNNNNNNNNNNNNNNNNNNNNNNNNNNNNNNNNNNNNNNNNNNNNNNNNNNNNNNNNNNNNNNNNNNNNNNNNNNNNNNNNNNNNNNNNNNNNNNNNNNNNNNNNNNNNNNNNNNNNNNNNNNNNNNNNAUUUAUUGAGAAUAUUUCCUUUGGAAAUAUUUCAAAAGGUAAAAAUAGACAGAAAGGGGUUUUUAGGGUUUUACUCAAAUAAUAAUAAUAUGAAAAGGGGUUUAAAAUCUUAUGUAUGGAAAAUAUAUGUCCUUUUAAUCAUCUCCAAAUUUUCUCAGAUUUUUCUAAGGUAGAAAAGUAUUUUUCCAUAUAGGAAUACCAUUUCUGGCCUCAGAAAUGGACAUGCAACUAAAUUAGAAAAAUAAUUCAUAAAAUAAUUAUUUUAUGAUUUUGGUGAACUAAAAUGGUGCUAGAACGAGAACACCAACUUUGGGUAAGAACACUCCUUGCCAUCAAGGACUUGUNNNNNNNNNNNNNNNNNNNNNNNNNNNNNNNNNNNNNNNNNNNNNNNNNNNNNNNNNNNNNNNNNNNNNNNNNNNNNNNNNNNNNNNNNNNNNNNNNNNNACGACGCUCGGCCACAUGCAGUUCGAUACUACUAUGCAUCGUGUCGUAUUAAGGAGAAGUCGUCGUGCCGUGAAAAGUUUCUGAGGAAGGAGCAGUACAUGAAGGUAAUUACCUAUUCUUAAGGCCUUGUACUUAGUUUCCUUGAUUUGAUUCGUAGGCGUAGCACUCAAAUUUGUCUUAACUAACUUAUAGGUGCACCCGAGAUGGUGUACGGAUAAGAUGGAUUGUUGGGAGGUGUUGAUUGAUGAGUGGUGCACAGGCCAAUGGCGAGUCAUCCACGACAAUGCAAUGGACCGGUGUGCCACACCAUGAAGGCAGUGCCAACUUAUUUUAGUUCACGUGGAACUUGGUUUUCUGUUUAUUUCCUGAUUCAUGCAAUUCAUUCUUCAUGCUAGUUUGAUCCCUUUACUAAUACUUUGCUCCACUCUUUUAGGCACAUCAGAAGAACGUGGAGGUGCCAGAGGUGUACGACCUCUAUGCCAUGGCCCAUACUGCCUCCUAAAGAAGGCCAAGGAAUUCUUUGAGUCUAAGCUCGAUCAUCGAGAGAAGUUCACCAACAUGUCCUUCCACCACAAGCUCGUGAGUUAGAACAUGGUGGGAAGGCGAGUAAAGGGGAGGACUUUAACAUGAGCCAGCAACCUUUGGAUCCAGAGCUGGUGAUGAUAUCUGGUGGCAGGAGGCCCCAUGGAUCGAUAGCCAUUCGAGAUGGGCUGAUACAUUGUCCUCUCACUCUCCAAGAGAUGAAGGCGCGCCAAACGAUCUCCUGCCCCUAAGAUAAGGACUCGUCUAUGGCUAGUCGAUCUAGCCAUCGAGGUUAGUUAUAUGGAAUCAGAUAACUUUCCUCCAUUACAUUGUGUGUGUCCAUCAACGAUUGCAAUGCUAAUGAGGAGUGGUAUUGCACGCUACUCUUUAGAGAGAGAGUGACAACACAUGCUGCUCUUUUGCGGGAGAGGGACCGGGUGGCGACGGAGACGGCUCAGGCUGCGGAGGAGAAGAUGGUUCGGUUGUUGGAGGAGGAGAGGGCAUGGAAUGAGACGGCUAACCGGGCCAUGUACGAGCUCCUUCUGGUAAGUUUCUUUAUCAUAUUAGCCAAAUCAAGCAUGUAAUGUCCCUUUCAUUACUAACUAAUAUGACUCACUCGUCAAAAUCAAAUGAGUAGUCUAUGUGCGAGAAUACCGGCCAAACCCUUCGUCGAUGCCAGUCAUUUCUACGAUUGGAACAGCGAGUUUCAUUUCAAUGGUCAUUAUUUACUAGUAUUAAUAUUUGAGUGUCAUCGUGCUAAUGAGACAUUGCAAAUUAUCUCUGGUGCAGAAUAGCUCACAUAAUUAUCUUAGUUAGGUCAAAAAUGGCAUAAUAACCUGGGCUAGCUCAUAAAUGUCAUAUACUUAGCUUAUUUUCCUCCAAAAUGACAUAAUAAGCCUAAAAAUGGCAUACAAAGACAUACAGAAUAGUAGAGGAAAGAGAAGAAAAAGAAAGAAUAUAAGAAUAAGAAUAAGCGUUCUUCUUCUUUCUUUCUUCUCUUUUUCUUUUCGUUCUUCUUUUCCUUAUUUUUCUUCUUAUUUUUCUUCGUAUUCUUCUUCUUCUAAUCCUCCUCUUCUUCUUCUAGUCUUAUUCUUCUUCUUCUUCUUCUUCUUCUUCUUCUUCUUUUUCAUCUUCAUCAUCAUCAUCAUCAUCAUCAUCAUCAUCAUCAUCAUCUUAUUAUUAUUAUUAUUAAUAUUAUUAUUCUUAUUCUUCUUCUUCAUCAUCAUCAUCAUCAUCUUCUUCUUCUUCUUCUUCCUCUUCUUAGCUAUUUAUCCUCCAAAAUGAUAUAAUUAGGUUAUUUAGUUCAUUUAUGACAUAAUUAGCUUAGUUAGGUCACAAAUGGCAUAAUAACAUUGGUUAGCUCAUAAAUAUUAUAUACUUAGCUUGUUUUCUUCUUCUUCUUCUUAGCUAAUUACCCUCCAAAAUGACAUAAUUGGCUUAUUUAGUUCAUUUACGACAUAAUUAGCUUAGUUAGGUCACAAAUGGAAUAAUAACCUUGGUUAGCUCAUAAAUGUUAUAUACUUAGCUUUUUUCCUCUAAAAUGACAUAAUUAGCUUAGUUAGGUCAAAAGUAUCAUAAUAACCUUGGUUGGCUCAUAAAUGUCAUAUACUUAGCUUAUCUUCCUCCAAAAUGACAUAAUUAGCUUAGUUAGGUUAGAAAUGGCAUAAUAACCUUGGUUAGCUCAUAAAUGUCAUAUACUUAGCUUGUUUUUCUCUAAAACGACAUAAUUAACUUAGUUAGGUCAAAAAUGGCAUAAUAACCAUGAUUACCUCAUAAAUGUCAUAGACUUAGCUUAUUUCCCUAAAAAAUGACAUAAUUAGCUUAGUUAAGUUACAAAUGGCAUAAUAACCUUGGUUAGAUCAUAAAGGCACAUACUUAGCUUGUUUUCCUCUAAAAUGACAUUAUUAGCUUAGUUAGGUAAAAAAAUGGCAGAAAAACCUUGGUUAGCUCAUAAAUGUCAUGUACUUAAAGGAAGUGAGUCUAGCUCACUUGGCUAGUGGAGUGGAUGUACAACCCAACCACCCAGGUUGAAGUCCCCACGGAAGCGAAUUUGGGUUCUUAUUAUUUAAAAAAACUCGCUGUGGGGGCUUCCCUUAUAGUUUUCCUUCAAAAAAAUUGUCAUGUACUUAGCUUAUUUUCUUCCAAAAUGAUAUAAUAAGCUCAAAAAUGGCAUAAAAGCAAAAAUAAAGAAUAAAAGCUGAAAGAGUAGAAAAAAGAAGUAAAGAAGAAAACAAAGCUUCUUCUUUCUUUCUUAUUACAAUUUUCCUCCUUUUUCUUUUCUUCUUCUUCUUCUUCUUCUUACAUUCUUCUUCUUCGUCGUCUUCUUCUUCUCCUUCUUCUUCUAAUCUUCUUAUUUUUCAGAUUCAGAUUCUUCUAGUCUUCUUCUUCUUGUUCUUCUUCUAGUAUUCUUCUUCUUCUUUGUAAUCUUAUUCUUCUUGUUCUAGCCUUCUUCUUCUUCUUCUUCUAUUCUUCUUCUACUACUACUACUACCACCACCACUACUACUACUACUUCUUCUUCUUCUUAUUCUUCUUCUUCUUCAUCAUCAUCUUCUUCAUCUCCUUUUUCUUCUUCUUCUUCUUCUUGUUCUUUUAGCCCUCGUCUUCUUCUUCUACUUUUCUUCUUCUUCUUCUUCUUCUAACUUUCUUAUUCUCAUUUUGCAGAUUUGAUUCACUUCAUGGAAGUUGGCAUUGAUGGACUUCUACUAUUUAAUUUUUGUUUCAAUUUGUAUGGAUGAAUAUUAUGAUGUUUGAAACUAUGUGUAUAUAUGGAUGAACAAUAUGAAGCUAGCCUAUUUGUUGUCUUGCUCAAUAUUUUCACGAUGAUGUUGGAUGCAUGGCCUAUGCUUCUUAUAUGAUGUUUGAAACUAUAUAUGAUGCUUGAAAUUAUAUAUAUCAUAGAUGUAUUCUGAAAAUGCACGGAAAUAACUGAAAACAAACAAAAAAGUGCCAAUAUAGGCAUUCUACCAUCUGCGAACCAAUGACAAAGGCCUUUGCCAUCGGCGAGCCGAUGACAAAGGUUUCACAUGACAGCUAUGCCUGCAACCUGGGAGCACCAGGUCUGACACAUUUGGUCACUUUGGCGUCAGCUAGAAGUAGGCCGACGACAAAGGGAGUUAUGGGCAGACGGCAAAGGGCCUCACAGGUAGUUGACAAAGGGCGUUGCAGGUACGCUGACAGAGGUAGUAGUGACGUCAGCUUGCAGACGGCAAAGGCUGUCAUUAGCUGGCGGACGGCAAACGAUGCCCCGAGCAACCCUGAUGCUUCACAUCCGUGAUGACGACGACAGUAAGUUUUCUCCAGGGCAAACUUCUCCAUGUGAAACCGCACAGAGCAACCUCGGUGCUUCACAUCCGUGAUGACUGCGUGUUCUUCUUACCAAAUGCAUACUUACCCUCGUACGUGCUAGCCCUAUUAUGCCACAUACUUAGAUUAUUUUCCUCAAGAAAGACAUACUUAGCUAUUUUUUGUCAAAAAUGUCAUAAUUAGCUUAUUUAGUUCAUUUAUCACAUAAUCAUCUUAGUUAGGUCAAAAAUGGCAUAAUAACCUGGGCUAGUUCAUAAAUGUCAUAUACUUAGCUUCUUUUCCUCCAAAAUGACAUAAUAAGCCUAAAAUGGUAGACAAAGACAGAAAGAAUAGAAGAGGAAACAGAAGAAAAAAAAGAAUAUAAGAAGAAGAAUAAGCUUCUUCUUUCUUUCUUCUCUUUUUCUUUUUGUUCUUCUUUUCCUUAUUUUUCUUCUUAUUUUUCUUCUUAUUGUUCUUCUUCUAAUCCUCUUCUUCUUCUUCUUCUAGUCUUAUUCUUCUUCUUCUUCUUCUUCUUCUUUUUCAUCUUCAUCAUCAUUUUCGUCAUCAUCAUCUUAUUAUUAUUAAUAAUAUUAGUAUUAUUAUUCUUCUUCAUCAUCAUGUUUUUCAUCAUCAUCAUCUUCUUCUUCUUCUUCUUCUUGGAUAUUUAUCCUCCAAAAUGACAUAAUUAGGUUAUUGAGUUCAUUUAUGACAUAAUUAGCUUAGUUAGGUCACAAAUGGCAUAACAACCUUGGUUAGCUCAUAAAUAUUAUAUACUUAGCUUGUUUUCGUCUUCUUCUUCUUAGCUAAUUACCCUCGAAAAUGACAUAAUUAGCUUAUUUAGUUCAUUUAUGACAUAAUUAGCUUAGUUAGGUUACAAAUGGCAUAAUAACCUUGGUUAGAUAAUAAAUGGCAUAUACUUAGCUUGUUUCCUCUAAAAUGACAUUAUUAGCUUAGUUAGGUAAAAAAAUGGCAGAAAACCUUGGUUAGCUCAUAAAUGUCAUGUACUUAAAGGAAGUGAGCCUAGCUCACUUGGCUAGUGGAGUGGAUGUACAACCCAGCCGCGCAGGUUAAAGUCCCCACGGGCGCAAAUUUGGGUUCUUAUUAUUUUGAAAAAACUCGUUGUGAGGGUUUCCCUUACAGUUUUCCUUCAAAAAAACUGUCAUGUACUUAGCUUAUUUUCCUCCAAAAUUAUAUAAUAAGCUCAAAAAGGGAACAAAAAAAGAAAGAAAGAAUAGAAGAUGAAAGAGUAGAAAAAGAAAGAAGAAAACAAGAAAAAUUAGCUUCUUCUUUCUUUCUUAUUAUUAUUUCCCUCCUUUUUGUUCUUCUUCUUCUCCUUCUUCUUCUUACAUUCUUCUUCUCCGUCUUCUUCUUCUUCUUCUUCUUCUUCUUCUUCUUCUUCUUCUAGUCUUCUUCUUCUUCAGAUUUUGAUUCUUCUAGUCUUCUUCUUCUUCUUCUUCUUCCUCUUCUAGUAUUCUUCUUCUUCUUCGUAUUCUUAUUCCUCUUGGUCUAGCCUUCUUC